GUGCUUAAUCAGAUGUGGAUUUUGAACGGUGAGUACGACAAGUCUGGUCCAUCCAUUGUCCACAAGAAGUGCUUCUAAGGUGCUGCUGCUAUUUUUACAUCUGUUCGCAAGUUCUUUUUUAUUUUUUUGUUCUUCCCGCUAAAGCUAUUAUGUCGUCCACAGUGAACGCAUGUCUGCUGCUAUAGCCAAGUCUUUGAGAUGGGGUUAUCAAAGAAGGGCAAUUAAAAACAUUGUACCGCUGAUACUAUUUCAUGUUUCUAGUGCAAGCCUCUUUUAUAAGUUGACAAACUCGAUUUGUAAAUAUGUUUGGGACUCAACUAGUGGUUAGAGUUCUGAUUUUAUAAGAUUUGUGUACAGAAAAUCAAAGUAGAAAGAUAACUCGUGAUGGUUGAAUAAGCUCGAAGAAGUGGAUUUGAAUUUCAAAUCGUGUCUUUUUUUUUUAUGUGUGUGAGAUGUUUGAAGUGUUGUUUAGAUUUGUUGGAAUAGUCUAAAGAGAUUGUCUCUAUAAAAUUUGAAGACAUUUGAUGGAGAUCUGAUUAGAUGAUUUUGAACAACAAUUGCAACUGAAGAUGGAUAUGUAUAUUAUAUUUGUAGUUAGCAACGUGUUGUAUAUUUUUAUAGUCGAUAUAUUGUUUUCUCAUUCGGUGUUUGGUAUCCAUAUUGGAGUUUGACUAAAUUCGGAUUUCCUCAUUUCAACGGGCGGUGCUCUUGACAUGAUUUUUUCCAUUCCACGGCUCAUGCUCCAAAAUUCUAAUUAAGGAUAGAAAAAUCUCAACUAUCUCACCACAACUCAUAUCAGUUAUAUUGGGUAUACAAGUGUAAACUAAUAAUACUAUGAAACUAAUAAUAUUUAAUUUAUUUUAGAGGUAAGAUAAGGACAAAAUGGUAAUCCAACUUAGAGGUUAGGAGCUUCACACUUGUAAUAAUACUAAUAUAAUAUAUGGGCACGUGUGUUCCCAGUUACUUUUUAUAUAUAGAUACGUUAGAAUGAUUACAAUUUUAUGAAAGAAUGCGUGUAAUUAGUAAUAAAAUACAACAAUUACAAAUUAAUCUUUAAGAGUUUGACAAGAAACACCAAAUGAGAGGUGAAUUUUAAUGUUUAAAAUUAAUUAAGCAACCAACAUAAAUUUUGAACUAUAAUUGGUAGUUAGCAAACUUCCAAUAAAAUCACAAAGGGCUAAUUUGAGCUCAACAAAGAUAUACACACUUACUACAAUAAGAAAUUAAUAGAAAAUUAAAUUAAAGAAGUUUAAUGGAAGAGAAAACACACAAAAAGAUAGAGAAGGAAAAAAUACAACAUACACAUUUUUUUUAAGACUUAUAUCAUAACAAUAUAGAUGGAAAAAGAAGUACAAUACAUAAUUUUCAAGUUCUUGUGGAGGCUUAAUUAUCCAUAACCAAUCAAAAUUCAAAAGUCAUCUUCGUCGAGUCAAACUAAAACAUGAGCCAAAUAGUACAAUAAUGAUAUAAGUCGUUACUUUAACUAUAGAAUGAAAAUGAUAAUAUUCUUGAGUAGGGGUCUCAUGAAACAAAAAAAAAAUGAAUUUAUAUAGAUAAAAAUUAAGGAAUACCAAAAGAUAAGUUUUAAAUUAAAUGUUUGAAGGUUAUAUGGUGUUUUUUGGUCUGCACCUAAUUCAAUAAAGGAAUAGAAAAAGUCACUAAAGUGGCUGCUAGUGUUCUCUAUGUAUGUAUCAGUUAUAAUUUUCAUCAAAUAGAUGAAUGCCAUCUUGCAUUUAAUUAAUCAAGUGAAGUUAAUGUAUUGAAUUAAUCAUCUUUUUUUACUUCAUUGUGUAAAGUAUUUAAAUUGAAACUGACUUAGCACCUUCCCAUUUUUAGGAUUUAGUAUAUAAUAGGAUAUAAUUACUACUACAAUAUUUAAUUAAUUAAAUAAUCUUUUUUAUAAUUUUUAUUUAAUAUAUAGGGGUAAAACGGUAAUUCAACUUUGAACAUAAAUUCUUUCCAUUUUUAAUAAUACUAGUUUUUGUGAACGUGUGUUGCACGUUUAAUUUGUCCCUUGUAAUUACUACAAGAUUUCUAUAUAAUUUUUUUAAAAAAUAAAUAAAUUUCAUAAUAGAAAAUAUGCAUGUAUUUCACGCUACUUAGUAUUAAUAUUUGUAAAUGAUUUAAAUACAAUUACAAUAUGUAUAAAUAGUUAUUCAUAAAAUUAAGUAAUCAAAAAGAGAAGGAGUCUAAACACCAAAUUAAAGCUUAACAUCAAAUGGACAAUCUGACAAUCAUAUCAAAUAGUUUUAAGAAAUUGUAUCAUUUUGAUACGUAAAUUUCACAUGAGUUAUUAGUUGUGAAGAUGUCAUAUAAUGUUUGAAGAUAAUAUAUAAAAAUUUAUCAAUAUCCAUUACAUUAUUAUAGCAUCACAAUAAAUUAUACAACUUCAGAUGUACAUUAUGUUCAUCCCACAAAUAUUCGAAAAUAAGAUGAAAUAGAGUAGACUAAAAACAAUGAAAUAGCUAAUGAAUUCUAAAACCUUCAAAUAACAAAAAUUAAAGAGAGAAACCGUUCCAGUUUAAAAGAAUGGAGGAACUUCCUCAAUAACUAACAAAAGCAUAAAUAGAUUUACCUCUUUUUUAUUGCAUAUGUGAUGAGCAAUAACAUCCAUCAACAAUUAUACAUUAGAAUAACUACGUGUGUGCAUUAACAUAAAGUGAUAGUGAUGAGCAAUAUAAUUACAUCCACCAAUAAUCAUCCAUCAACAAUUAUACAUCGGAAUAACAAAGUGUAUGCAUUAAUAUAAAGUGAUUUUGAAAACAAUUUUUUGGUACGUAUAAUUAUAAGUCAUGAAUUAUAAAAGUCAUUUAAAAAUUGAUGAUAUACAUAACAUCUAUGAGAAUUAGAUUGGUUAAAGUUGGGAUAUGUAAAGUUUCUAACUAAAAUUUAAUUAUGUGUGUCAUAUUAAGAUGUCUGGUAAUUCAAAGGACAUUUUGUUGUUUAAUGUUCAAGGAUAUUUCAGUUUUUAAAGGAUAUAAAUAUUUUUGACCAUUGCCUCAGUGAGGUCGAGGAAGCAUCUUCAGAUCAGGAUGAAAUCUUUAUAUUUGCAUUCAAACAUUGUAAAAGAAAUCUAGUAUAGGUAGGAAUUGAGAUAAUUUGCUCCAGAAAGAACUCUUCUUGCAUUUUGUUUCCUUUGUUGCUCUGCAUAUGACCUUCAAUUUCAGUCAUUGUUUCAAAUUUUGUUUGCUCUGGUUCGACUCUGUGUUUAGUGUUUCUGAGUUUUUCUUCUCUUUUUUUUUUCAUCAGACUCUACUCUAUUUGUCGGCAAUCUUCUUUCUUUGUUUACCUGCUUUUGUUCUUGGGUGGAUCGAAUAUAAACAUUUGUGUACAUCUUUGGCUCUUCUUUGUUUGAUUCACUUUCUUCAAUUAGAUCAGAAAAUAUUUCUCUGAAGGCAUGUUGAUUUUAUUAUUUUACACGAUUUCUGUUUGUGUUACUUUUUCGAUUUCUAAUUUGUUUUAUUCAUGUUUUUUACAGUUUAAUUUUUGAUGCUUCCGAGUUUCAGCAGUCCUGAUUCCUGAUGUUUUCUGGGUGAGCAUGGUUCUCUCCUUUUUCAAGUUAACAACUUAUUUUAUAUUACUUUUGCUGAGAUUGAUUGUGAGUUGCAAGUUUCGCAAUGCAAUUUUUGUAUUAUGAAUCCUUGAUGGACUAUGGUGAAAAUUUACUUUUCUUUGUAGAAAAAACAUCAAAGAAUUAUACUACUAUACAAAUCAGGUUUGUUAAUAUUGAUACUGCUGAUGUUAAUAAUCACUUGGCUAUUGUGAAAUAUGUUGAGGAUAUUUACAAAUUUUAUAAGCUCACAAAGGUCUGGUGAAUAUCAGAUGUCUCUGUUUCAAUGCUGGGGUGAUUUUACUGUUAUAGUGGAUACGGUGAGUUACUUUAAUGUGACAAACAAUAGUUUUGUGAUUUUAUUGUGUAGUGUAUAAAAUUCAUGUUAUUUUGAUAAUUUGGCUGAUUCAGGAUGAACGUUGAUUGUAUUAUUACAUGGAUUCACAACCACACAUCAACGCCAGGGUCAAAGCUAGCAAUUUUUCUGGAAGGUUGAACUACUUGAAAAACAUGAAAGCUACAUUACUUCACACAGUUGCGAGAUGAAGAGAAACUUUUUAGGAUCUAUUGUCAAUAUUUUUAGCAUUGUUAGUACUGUAACUCUCAACUAAAAGCUGGACAAAGUUACAAUUUUCAUCAAAAAUCGGUAAUGGCAGAGGGGCGUUUCUUUGGUUAUUGCUCAAAACUACAACUGCUAGUGAUUAUUUCUCAUGUAGUGAUUUUUUUAUGGAAUCAAUGUGUUAUCAAAACAUUUACGUUUAGUUAUGUUAUAACACAAACAGUUGAGGAUUGCACAACCUUACUACUAAAUGUUCAGAAAUAGACUUCUUUCUUGAAGGAGGAUUGCCAUUCAAUUGACGACUUGUGAUCAUCAAUUGCGAGAAGCUGGUGAGUGGCCGAAACGAUUGGCAUCUCAAAGAGUUUAUAUGUGAUCUAGCAGAACACAAUAGAUUGGGAGGGGGUGGAGACAGGUUUUUCUGAUUAAAUUUGGCACUAGUACUCGAUUUCUUGAGUUUUUGCUUCAGUAAAAGGGAAAAAAGGCUAUUUCUUAGUCUGUAUUUUGUAGUUUUAGCAAACAAGCAUAUUGCUAACUGGUGUCAAUAAACCAAGAGUGUAUUGUACCUUUUUCAGGACAAUUAUGUUAUAUUAUAUGUUGGAUGUUUAUUUGUUAUUUCAUUUCCAUAAAACGGUGGAUCGUUGAUUUCAGUUCAUUCAUUGGGACAGAGUUGUACAUGGACCUAAAUAGGGACCUUACCACUAUCUUGUAGGGUAGAGAGGUUGUUUCCGAUAGACCAUCGGCUCAAGUAAACAUAGAAAAAAUAAUACCUUAGAGAAAAGGAAAAUGGAACAGAAUCCAAUUCUAAAACGUAUUCAUGAUAUGUUAGACCCAAUUAAGCACUACAAUGAGCUGUUGAAAAAUGAACAGUGCAUAAAGCAAAAGUAGUGAAUAAACAUAAAGCAAAAGAUAUCUUCCUCCAUUAUUCAAUUAGUGGAGUCAUACUUUUUGAAAAGAGAAAAGAGGACAGUUUUGCUUCUUGUAGAUUAGCUGAAACAUAGUUGUACUAAUUUCAAGCAAUCACUGAUCAUUCUUGUUUGCAAAUUACUCUCAACAUUCAACAGGUAAAGAAGUUCUCUCUUAGUAGUUGAAGCUAGAUAGAAAAAUUUGUCUUCUCAUCAAAAUCAUUUUGUGUUUUUCAGAAAUGGAGAUUGGCUUAGCAGUUGGUAGUGCAUUUCUCUCUUCAGCUUUGAAUGCUCUCUUUGAUAGGCUUGCUCCUCACGGUGAUCUGCUCAACAUGUUUCAGAAGCAUAAGCAUCAUGUUCGGCUCUUAAAGAAGCUGAAAAUGACUUUGCGUGGUCUUCAGAUUGUGCUAAGUGAUGCAGAGAAUAAGCAAGCAUCAAAUCCAUCUGUGAGUGACUGGCUUAAUGAGCUUCGAGAUGCUGUCGACUCUGCUGAAAACUUAAUAGAAGAAGUCAAUUAUGAAGCUUUGAGACUUAAGGUGGAAGGUCAACAUCAGAAUUUUGCAGAAACAAGCAACCAGCAGGUAAGUGACCUCAAUCUGCGCUUGAGCGAUGAAUUUUUCCAUAACAUAAAGGACAAGUUGGAAGACACUAUUGAAACAUUAAAGGAUUUGCAAGAGCAAAUUGGUCUCCUUGGCUUAAAGGAGUAUUUUGGUUCCACGAAACAAGAAACUAGAAGACCUUCAACUUCUGUGGAUGAUGAAUCUGAUAUCUUUGGUAGGCAGAGCGAAAUAGAGGAUUUGAUUGACCGUUUAUUGUCUGAAGAUGCAAGUGGGAAAAAGCUGACAGUAAUUCCUAUUGUGGGAAUGGGUGGCCUGGGUAAGACAACACUUGCUAAAGCCGUUUACAAUGAUGAGAGGGUGAAGAACCACUUUGGUUUGAAAGCUUGGUAUUGUGUUUCUGAGGGAUAUGAUGCUUUGAGAAUAACGAAAGGGUUACUUCAAAAAAUUGGCAAAUUUGACUCAAAGGAUGUCCACAACAAUCUUAAUCAGCUUCAAGUCAAAUUGAAGGACAGCUUGAAGGGAAAGAAGUUCCUUACUGUUUUGGAUGAUGUGUGGAAUGACAACUACAACGAGUACAUCAGAAUUUUGCAGAAACAAGCAACAAGCAAGUGACCUCAACCUUUGCUUGACUGAUGAAUUUUUCCUUAACAUAAAGGACAAGUUGGAAGACACUAUUGAAACAUUAAAGGAUUUGCAAGAGCAAAUUGGUCUCCUUGGCUUAAAGGAGUAUUUUGGUUCCACGAAACAAGAAACUAGAAGACCUUCAACUUCUGUGGAUGAUGAAUCUGAUAUCUUUGGUAGGCAGAGCGAAAUAGAGGAUUUGAUUGACCGUUUAUUGUCUGAAGAUGCAAGUGGGAAAAAGCUGACAGUAAUUCCUAUUGUGGGAAUGGGUGGCCUGGGUAAGACAACACUUGCUAAAGCCGUUUACAAUGAUGAGAGGGUGAAGAACCACUUUGGUUUGAAAGCUUGGUAUUGUGUUUCUGAGGGAUAUGAUGCUUUGAGAAUAACGAAAGGGUUACUUCAAAAAAUUGGCAAAUUUGACUCAAAGGAUGUCCACAACAAUCUUAAUCAGCUUCAAGUCAAAUUGAAGGACAGCUUGAAGGGAAAGAAGUUCCUUACUGUUUUGGAUGAUGUGUGGAAUGACAACUACAACGAGUGGGAUGACUUGAGAAAUAUAUUUGUGUACAAGGAGAUAUAGGAAGUAAGAUCAAGAUCAUUGUGACGACACGCAAAGCGAGUGUUGCCUUGAUGAUGGGAAAUGAGCAAAUUAGCAUGGACAGUUUGUCUAAUGAAGCCUCUUGGUCUUUAUUUAAAAGACAUGCAUUUGAAAACAUGGAUCCUAUGGGACAUCUGGAACUUGAAGAGGUCGGAAAACAAAUUGCAGCUAAGUGCAAAGGACUGCCCUUAGCUCUGAAGACGCUCGCUGGCAUGUUACGCUCCAAAUCAGAGGUUGUAGAGUGGAAACGUAUUCUGAGAAGUGAAAUAUGGGAGCUGCGAGACAAGGACAUAUUACCAGCGUUGAUGUUGAGCUACAAUGAUCUUCCCGCACAUUUAAAGCGAUGUUUUUCCUAUUGUGCAAUAUUUCCUAAAGAUUAUUCAUUUAGGAAAGAGCAAGUUAUUCAUCUUUGGAUUGCCAAUGGUCUCGUACCAAAGGAAGAUGAAAUAAUUGAAGAUUCAGGCAACCAAUACUUUCUCGAAUUGAGGUCAAGAUCAUUAUUCGAAAGGGUCCCAAAUCCUUUUGAAGGGAACAUAGAGAAAUUCUUAAUGCAUGACCUUGUCAAUGACUUAGCCCAAAUUGCAUCUUCAAAACUUUGUAUCAGGUUGGAAGAGAGCCAAGGAUCUCAUAUGUUGGAAAAAAGUCGGCACUUAUCUUAUUCAAUGGGAAAAGGUGGUGAGUUUGAGAAAUUAACACCCCUCUACAAAUUGGAGCAGCUGAGGACAUUGCUUCCGAUAUUUUUUGAUGUCAAUCAUGACUCUCUAAGCAAGAGGGUGCAGCAUAACAUACUGCCAAGACUAAGAUCCUUAAGGGCAUUAUCAUUGUCUCAUUACAGGAUUAAGGAGUUGCCGGAUGACUUGUUUAUCAAAUUAAAGCUCCUGAGAUUUUUGGAUAUUUCUAAGACAGAGAUUAAUAAGUUGCCAGAUUCCAUUUGUGGAUUGUAUAAUUUAAAGACACUUCUCCUGUCAUCUUGUGAUUAUCUUGAGGAGCUACCACUGCAGAUGGAGAAGUUGAUCAACUUGAGUCAUCUUGACAUAAGCAACACUUCUCGCUUGAAGAUGACACUACAUCUGAGCAAGUUGAAAAGCCUCCAAGUGCUAGUGGGAGCCAAGUUUCUUCUAGAUGGUUGCUCACACCAUUACUAGAAUUUGACGAGGGAGAAUACUGGCCAAAUAUUGCUCAAAUUCCCACCAUUGUGAUUGAUCGGGAGUUCCUAUGAUGAUUAAAACAAAUGGCUCUCCAACUGAUGUAAGUUAUUCUUUUCCUUUUUUAAAAAUCUUGUUGAGCAGUCUAUUGCUCAAACCACGGCUACUGACCAAAAAUUGUUCAUAUUUUUUUUUUCUAUUUAGAAACGGGAGUUUGGAAGGAUUCACAAUGGCAAGCCUGAUUCCUGAAGUUUUCUAGGUGAGCAUGGUUGUCUCCUUUUCAAGUUAACAACUUAUUUAUAUUAAUUUUGCUGCUAUUGAUUGUCAGUUGCAAGUUUCGCAAUUCAAUUUAUGUGUUACUACAUCUGGGAACGUGCGUUGCACGUUUAUCCCAAAAUACUUUAUAUAAAUUUUGUAUUGCAAAUAACAUAUUCUAUCCCCUCUAAAUCUAUAGUAUUUACUAAAAAAAAAUUCAUCACAUAUAUCUUUAUAAAUAUAUAUAUAUAUAUAUGAUUAUUAAAUUGACUAAAAGUGUAUAGAGUAAAAAUAACUUCCAAGUAAUAGUCAUCAGUUAGAUGAGAUAAUAGAUGUAGAUAGAGAUAUAGAAAUAUUCAAGCAAAAUAAAUUAAAAUUAUUAAAUCCACAAGUUCUAUAUAAUACAGGACUAUUUUCGUCAAUAGCACACUUAUACAGACAUUAUAGAGAAGAACAAUUGAGUGUAUCAGAAAACGAUAGUGAAAGUAUAAAUUUAAUUAGUAAAUAAUCUAUGCAAGAAAUACAAAAAAGACGAAUGAAUCUCAUGCAUAUGAGAUUGGUAGUAAUCGGACUUAAAGGUUUAACUAGAAAAAAUUUAGGUACUAAAGUAUUAAUCACUUUAUAUGAUAGUAGAUGGUCAGAAUCUAAAAGAUCCAUAAUAGGUUUAACAGAAGUCGACAUGAGUAAUAAUGGAGGAAUUUUUUACUGUAGUCCAGAUUUCAUGAUAAAUUCAAAAGAAUUUGGAAAAUACAUAAAAAUAGGCAUACAAACCAAGGGUUACGAAGAAAUGAACUGUGGAAACAAUCUAUUAGUUUGUGUUGGCUUCAUAGGAAAAUUAGCAACCAACAGUAGUUCAAGGUUUAAAAUAAAAAUAGACAAUGCGGUAGGCAUAAUGGGAAAUAAAGGAAUAAAAUUAAUGAAACUUUUAAAAAUAAAUUCAGAAGAAUAUGCAGGUAGAGAAUGGAAUUUAGAAAAAUUCUAUAAAAAAGAAGUGUUAAGACCAAAUGACCACCUCACAUACACAAAUAAUAAAGGUGAGACAUCAAUCAGAUUCACUGAUUAUAAAUAUACAAAUCAAAAGAAAUAGAUGAAGAUUUAGAAGAUAAUGAAUCAACCAUAAAUAUGGAAGGAAUGAAUGUUCAGAUCAAUAAAGAAGAAGACUAUGAAGUAGAUAUAUCAAUAGCAAAAGCUAAAGAAAUACACAAGUCAAAUAAAGAAAAUUUAUUUAAAUGUAAAGGAUGUAAACUAGGAAAACUAAAAUUUUCUAUAGUAGAAAAACACUUCAAAGAGUGUAAUUUUAGAACAGACAAUUAUGGAUUUCGCCAGAAAGAAAAAACACAGGAAGAAAGUGAUGAUGAAACAACACGUAGUUUAAAAGAAUUAGAUGAAAGCGAUGAUGAAACAACACGCAGUUUAAAAGAAUUUAUGGAAACCGCUUCUUCAAGCUCAAGUCCCUUCCAAAAGACAACCCCAAUACCACCAAUAGAAUAUACUAUAGGUAAUUUACCACAACACCGUGUAUUUAGACAAGACCCGAUGACAGAACCAGAAAUGGUUAGACCUAUAGGAAUAAUAAUGCCAAUAGAAGCCCCCAUCAAACUCCAAGACAGGGGAGAUAGAUGAAAAAUACUAAAUAUAUCGGCUCAUGACCCUCAAUUAUGGAACUCAGUACUAGAUGUAUGGAAAGGAGUAGUAGUAGCAGACAACAUACACCAUUAUAGUGAAACAGAUGCAGAAACUAUGUAUAGAUACAUGGAAACCUUUCUAGGAGAAUCAAUCAAAGGAGUAUGGGAAGAAUAUAAGGUAGCUUACCCUCAAGAAUUCCAAGAACUAGUAAAUAUAGGACCAAACUCGUAUAAUUUUACUAAUAAAAUACACAGCCUGAUAACAGGAGAAGACCCAAAUAGCGGAUUAGUAGUGUUACAAAAGAAUGCACUAAUAAAAUUAGAACAACUUAGCAAAACAAAUUGGAGUCAUAUAAAGAAUUUUUUAAAAGACUAUUUUUACUAUUGCGCUAUAAGCGGUAAUGCGUUUGACCAAAGCUUGGGGAAAAAACUUUUUAACAAACUCCCUGGAGCCUUAGGAAGAGAAAUAGAGGAAAGAUGGAACAAAAGAGAGGGAGUAAUGACAAAACCCAAAUGCCAACUGGUCUAUAGGACAUAAAAUACAACAUGUCAUGGAAAUAUUACAAGAGAAAUGUACAAAUAUACAAAUACAAAAAUAAUUAAAACAAAAUGAGACUAGUUUUUGUAAGAAUAUAUAUACAACACAAAGCUAUGAUCAAAGUACACCAAAAAGAAAAUACAGAAAGACAUAUCAAAAUAACCAAGACUACAAACCUAGGAAAAGGUAUUAUCUAAGAAAAUCUACGGCAAAAAAACCUUACCUAAAUAAAGAUAGACAUGUAAGAAAACAAUAAUAAUAAUAAUAGAAUUUACAAAAAUAAGACUAUCUUGUUUUACUAUGUGGAAGUGAAGAACAUCUAGCUAAUACUUGUCCAGGUAGAAAUAAUAGUAGAACAAGAAAUGCCCAACUUAUAGAAGACUUCCAAGAAACCCUGAUAAAUGUAGAUGAAUACAAGUCAGAUAAUGAGAGCAUAUAUUUAGUAAUAAGCAUAGAUGCUAUAGAAGGAAGACAACAAGAUUCGUCUGAUUCAGAAGAAGAAACUUUAAUAAACGAGAUAGGAUUAGAAAAAUUAGACUUAAACAUGAAAGAUUUUACCUUUGUUAAUAUACAAUGCGAUCACCAAUUCUCCAAAGCAAAAGGGUUAGAUAGUCAAAAAUGCUUUAAUUGCACAUGAUACCCCAGUAAAGACAGAAGAGCUAAAUGUAUGAACUGCUAUGUAGAGGGAUGCCUUAUGUGCAUCGACAUGAUAUUUAACAUAAAAGUUAUAGACCAAACAAGAAGUACAAAAGAAAAAACAUUAAUAUCUUUAGAAAAAAGGAUUGAUAAUUUAGAGGACAGAAUAAGUAAAUUAGAAAAGGGAAAAGAAAAAUUAGAAGAGGGAACCAACCAAAACACAACGCCAAAAGAGGAAAUCGAGCUCUUAAAUGAAAAGGAGGACUAUAAAUCAUUUGAGGGAUUAAUUUGUAAUGAAGACAAGAAAAUUAAUACUAUCAAAAUAUUAACAAGAAUAAGAAUUCAAGACUACGAAAUAGAAACUUUAGCUCUAGUAGACUCUGGAUGUAAAAGUAUAAUAGAUAGAAGUAUCCUGCCUCUAGAUAUAAUAAAAUAAUUUCCAGAGCCACAAAGCGCCAUGCAAAUGGAUGGAUCUUCAAAUGUAUAUAAACAUUAUGUUAGUAAUGCUCAAAUAAGUUUUUUAAAUACAUGUGAAAACUUUUAUAAACACAUGUAUAGAUUAGAAAAAAUAUGGGUUAGAGACUUAAAUAUUAUAGUAGACUUUGUUUUAGGUUUAGACUUCUUAUUACAUAACAACGGAUGUUGUCGCCUUACUAGAGACGGAGUAAUAUUCUCUAAAAAUAUGACUCAUACCUCAAUAACAACAGAAUCGUUUCCAACGAAAUCUAGGUAUCUUAAAAAUACUGAUAAACUUAAUACAAACACUUCAAAAUGUAAUAAAGGAGAAGAAUGUAAUUAUACUAAGAUACAUGUUAUUGAAGAAGAAAUUGAAUUAUUAGAGCUAAGUUUAUCUGAUAUACAACUAGAGAAAAGUUAUAACUUAAUAGAAAUAAAUACAGAAUUUUAUAAUUUCAAAAAAGGAUUACAACAUAUAGGAGUCAUAAAAAAUCAAAAAGACCUAGAGGAGGUAAUUUCCAUCUUAGAUAAAUUAGAGAUAAUUGGAGAAAGACCUUUAAAGCACUGGGAAGCCAAUCAUAUAACUUGCAGACUGGAUAUCAUUAACCCAGAAUAUACUGUUAAAACUGAUUCAAUAGAAUCCACAAAUGAAGACCUAAAGGAAUUUGAAGAUCAGAUAAAAGAAUUACUAAAUUAGGGAGUGAUAAGAAGAUCAACUUCAAGACAUAGGUCAUCAACAUUUGUGGUAAGAAAUCAUAAUGAAAUAUUAAGAGGAAAAGCUAGAAUGGUAAUAAACUAUAAAAGACUUAAUGACAAUACCAAAAUGGAUGGAUAUAAGUUGCCAGAAAGAUCAAAAUUAAUAAAUCGAAUGCAAGGAAGAAUUUUUUUUAGUAAGUUUGAUUGUAAAUUCGAAUACUGGCAAGUCAAAAUGUAUGAAGACAGUAUAGAAUAGAAAACUUUCACUUGCCCAGAAGGACAUUUCGAAUGGUUGGUAAUGCCCUUCGAUUUAAAAACAGCUCCUCCGAUCUUUCAGAGAAAGAUGGACAAUAUAUUUAGAGAUUAUAAAAAUUUUAUUUUAGUAUAUGUAGACGAUAUCUUAGUAUUUAGUAAUAAUGCCAACAAACAUCUAAGACAUUUACAAACGGUGUUUAAAUUAUUUGUAGACAAUGGAAUUAUAAUUAGCAAAAAGAAAAUGGAAUUAUGUAAAAAACUAACAGUGGUUUCUCCUCCAACAGUCAAGUAACUAGCACUGGUUAUUCCAGCAAGAGCUCUUACUCUAACAGAACUAGUACCGUCAACUCCAAUUGUAGCAGCAGGAAUGUCUUCACCACCAGAUAAAUCUUAUAAAAUUCCUAGGGGUAGAAAUUGGAAAUGGAAAGAUAAAAUUACAACCCCAUAUAGCAAAAAAGGUUCUCGACAUGCUUGAUAAAUUAGAUAAUACUAAAGACUUACAAAAAUUUCUAGGAAUAUUAAAUUAUGCACGAAGUUUUAUAAAAGACCUAGGAAAAGUAACAGGACCCUUAUAUUCUAAAACAGGAAUUCAUAGGCAGAAGACAUUCAAUAUGGAAGACAUAAAAUUAGUACAAAAGCUUAAACAAAUGGUUAAAAAUAUACCAGAUCUAGCCCUCCCACUAAAAACUGACUGCCCAAUAGUGGAAACCGACAAAAGUCUAGAAGGAUGGGGAGCAGAAUUAAAAACAAAGAACAAUAAAUAUAUAGAAAAGAAAGACGAAAAAAUUUACGCCUAUCACAGUGAAAAAUACAAGGAAAAAGGAAACAUGAGUAGCAUAGAUGCAGAAAUUCUAGUAGUCAUAUAUGGACUAAAUAGCUUUAAAUUAUUUAUUAUUAAUAAAAAAGAAAUUUUAGUAAGAACUGACUGCAAAGCUUUUGUAAAAUUCCACCAGAAAAUAGAAGGAAAAAAUAGUAGUAAGAGAAGAUGGCUAAAUUUUUUAGACGCUACAUCAAUAUACAAUAUAUUUUUAGAAUAUAUAAACGGAAAAGAUAAUUCCUUAGCAGAUCAACUAAGCAGACUCAUGAAAACUAAUUAUUUAUUUUCAGAAUGAGUACAUGUAAGAACAAAGACAAGGCAUCCAGUUCAAGUUCAAGUAAUAGUGGGCAAAAAGACAAAGAUAUAUACUUAUAGACAUUAUUGGGAAACACUUCGUUUAGACCACAUACAAGAGAAGAAGAUGCAAGGAUAAAUACUCCUAUAGAAAGACUAUACUUUGGAAGACAAAAUUUAAUAUUUUAUCCUCCAUCUAAUUUAAGUUUCAGAGUAAAGCCAGAAACAAAAAUAGAUAAACAUCAAAGAUGUUUGAUAGACAAUCUAUGGAUAGCAUAUAACAAAAUUUUGAAAGACAAUAGCUAUUUUAUUUCAGUAUUAAACUCAGUAAGUUAUUAUUUUACGGAGAAAAAUGAAGACAAAAAGUUUAAAUUCUACGUAGUAGUUCGAGGAAAGCUAGCAGGCAUCUUCCAGACUUGGAUCGAGGUGAUAGACUCAAUUAAAGACUUUCCUACCCCAUUUUUCAAAGGAUUCAACGAUUUAAAUAAAGCACUAGACUAUGCUAGAGGAACUCUUGGGCCAAAUUAUUUCAUAAGCCCAGCUUUAAGACAAACUUCAAGACCUUUCCUGCAAUACAAUAUUCGAAAGGAUACUGACAAGAUAAUCUUCUGCGAUCAUUGUUCUUCAAUGACUGAAGGAUUCAAAAUACUAAACCAGACAAUUGAGAAACUAGAGACUGAGAAAGGGGAACUGACACAACAUAUCCACUCAUUACAAGAAAAAAUAAGGUUCUUCCUUGGAAAUACUAAUCAAACCAUACCAUUACAAAUACAAGACUACUCAAAAGGACCAAAGAGUUCUCCAUCUCAUCUUAAAAUGGAUAAGACGGGUGUUCAUCCUCCAACGAAUGUAGAAAGAGCUAUUGUAUCAGCUAAAUGUACAACUAGUCCCGUUCAAAUGGUAGCGGGUAAAGAUUCAUCAAAUCCGUUGAUGGCUGACACUUUGCCAAAAAGUGUUAAAAACAAAUUUGAAAAUAUUUGUUAAAAACAAACUUAAUUUUUUUGAAAUUGGGGGGUGGGGGGUCGCGGGUAGGGAGUGGNNNNNNNNNNNNNNNNNNNNNNNNNNNNNNNNNNNNNNNNNNNNNNNNNNNNNNNNNNNNNNNNGGGGAGGGGGUCGAGGGUAGGGGUGGGGUGGGAUGAAAAAUAAAAAAUUUAAAUUGGAAAUAUUUUUUUAAAAAAAAUUAUUUUUUUUGUGGGGGGGAGGGGUAGGGGGUGAGGUAAAAAAAUUUAAAAUUGAAGGCUUUAAAUUUAUUUUUUUCAACAAAAAAAUAAUAAUUGUAAUUUGAAGUUGGAGAGAGUUUUGGAAAACGUUUUUCUUAAUUUUUUGAAAGUAAGUCAUUUUCCUUAAAUUUGAGAAAAAUGAGUUAAUUUGAAAAUCAUUCUCCAAAACGUUUUACCCAACCAAAUAUGAUAAAAUUGAAAUACAUUUUCCGAAAAUGUUUUCCUUCAUACCAAACACACCCAAUAUGAUGAAUCAAUGAUGGAUUAUGGUGAAAUUUACUUUUUUCAUAGAAAAAUAUCAAAGAAUUAUACUAUUCAUGUUUGAUAAAAUAUCCUUCAAUAAGACCUGGUGAAUAUCAUAUGUCUCUGUUUCGAUGCAUCUUAUAAAUCCUAUUGAAAUUCUGUGAGGUUGCUCGUGUCCUUUGGUUGGUGGGCUUAAUUUUUUGAACUGUGAAUGCAUCUUAACAUAAUUUUGAUUUUUGAUGGGUUCUCCAAAUCUAACAAUUUUAUUUGGGAUCCCUUUUUUUAGGGGGAAAGUCUCAAAUGGGAAAUAAAGUUGGCACUUUGAAGAUUUUGAAGCUAGAAUUUGUGAGCUCUCUCUUUGUCUACACAAAUUUCAAACGGCCUGUUAUAGCUUCAAGGUAAUCGUCUUCGGAAAUUUGAAUUCUUUUGGUUCUUAUUUUAAUCUUGCACAAAAGUGUAACAUUUACCCUUUGUUUGGAUCAUUGUUACCCAUUAUAUUGUAUCGUUACUAUACCUACAAUGUUUGUUUUGAUUAUUACUUAAAAUAUAUUGUAUUGUAUUGUUAAAUUUCGUUGUUACGUAACAAUGAAAACCUCUAUUUUAUGGAACAACCAAUUUGGUGUGUUCCCAAUUGUUACUUAAUUUCUUUUUCCAAUUAUAUCUUUUACAUAAUAUUUCAAAAUACUAUUUUAUCCUUUACCUUAUAUUAUUUAAUUCUAAUCAAACCUCCUACUCUACAUAUAUACAAAUGGCUUACAUAUACCAUUUUCCUCUAACAGAGAUGAAAAAAAUUAAUUUUAGUUUAAUUUUUUUUAAAAAAAAAAAAACUAUAAUCCCAUAUGAGUAUAUUUAAUCCUCCUCAAACAUAUAUUUUUUUUGUUUCAAUGACUAAUUUAAAUUUAUUAUUUUAAUGGUCAAAUUUAUUUAUGUUUCACUAAUAUUCUUGUAAAACUUAUUAUUGUUUACAUCUCCGCUUUAUUCAAAUAGGGCGAAACGUCCUGAUGACUCAAAAAAUAAACAAUUGAUUCAAUUUUAAAUUUUUUUUAAGAAAAUAAGAAUUUUAAAGGAGUCACCACCUAAUUUUAGGAAACCAAUUAAAUGAUCUACGAAACCAAGAAAUUUUAGGUAAGGGGUUCAAGUUAAUUCGAAGGAAAAGUGUUAGGCAUCAUUCGAAAUUCACAAUUGUGAGUUCCGACCGAAUUCAUUUUUUCAAAUUGAGGAGGAAGUAAAAAUAGUAUACAAAUAUAACAAACAUACAAUAUACACAAGUAAUAUGAGAAACGACCUAAUAUUUGCCUAUCAUCAAUAAUAUACAUAAUAAUGAUUAUAAUAUUCGAACUUUAUUCGAAUGGCUUCGAUGAGAAACGACUUCGGGGUACCUAUAAAGACACUUAAUAAAAGUGUUAAUACUAAAUAUAUAUGAAUAAAAAUAAAUAAAGCAAAUAAUAACUUAAAAAUAAAAACUCAUCUUAUUAACAUAGGAGGCCUUAGAAAUAGACUGUAAUUUCUUCAUCGGCCAAUUUUAACAAAUAAAAUAUACAAACUUAAAUUAAAUUUUCGUCUUUUGCAAUGUAGAGGCCUCCAAAACCGACGGAAAUUUUUUUUCAUUAGGCAAAUUAUAGCAUUUACUUAACAUGAAUUAAGGAAAUAAUCCUAUAGUAAAAUUGACAAAACCCUUCGGGGUGGCCCAGUGGUUUGGGCUUGGGACUUCCAUGUUGGAGGUCUCAAGUUCGAAACCCCUUGCCAGCGAAAGCAAGGGUUUGCCCUCUGGGUCGAGCUCAUCGCACCGGGCUUGCCUAGUGCGGGUUACCUCUCCUAUGUGGUUUGCGAGCUAUUGCAUAAGAGCGGGGGUUUUACCCUGUGCGCAUCCAAAGGGUAGCAGCUGCGGGUUUCCCUUGUCAUCAAAAAAAAUAAAAUUGACAAACAUUAUAUUUAAACUAGCUCAAAAAGAAUAACAAAUUAAUAACGGACAAUGCACAGAUAAUGAUAAAAUAAUUUCGACACUUUUCUAAAAAAAACAACUACUAGUGCUAACAACAUCAAAGAAAUAAAUAAAUUAAGAAGAAUAAUGGAAGUAAAAUCUGUAAUCUAAACAAAAAUAAAAAUAAAAAAUGAAACCGAACACCACAAUCACAAUAGUAUCUAAAUGAAGUAUAAUCUGUAACCGAUUAAAAUAAUAAUAACAAUAAUAAACAAAAGAGGAAACAAAGGCAUAAUAAUAACAAUAAAAUAAAUCCACAACUUAGAGAAAAUUACAAUACUCAACCUUCUUUAAUUAAUAAUUAGAAAUUACCAUUAUGUGCCACUUUAUACGAAUUGAGAGAAUUAACCACAAAUAAAUAGACUAAUCAAGAAUAGCUAACUAUAGUAUCCAAAAUAAACUAAACAAAAAUAAUGGAUUCGAAAGCACAUUCAUAAACUGUAAACGUAAACAAUAAUAAAAAGAAAUCAAGGAAUAACAGAUACAAAAAUUACCGAUCCCGGUCUGGUUCCUGGCGACUUCGUUGUUUUGAGCUACUAUUCGCCGGAGUUGUUUUGCCAGAGUUCGGAAUGUUGGUUGUUGUUAUUGUUACCUCCUGGAGGAGCUCGUGGGUGGAGCUGGUGUGGUCAGCCUCUGGUUUCGAUGAGUUGGAGCUUGGAGCUCACUGGCUGUUGUUCGCCUGGGCUUCGUGGGUUUUGAGCUACUUCUUGCUGGGGUUGCUGGUUCAACGAGCAAAGGGGAGAACGAGGAUGGGGUUUUGGGUUGGUUUCGCCGGAAAAAGGGUGAAGAGAGUUGGGGUCUUAGUGGUGGUUUUGGUGGUGAUUUUGGCUGAAGGGUGGUGGCGUUUGGGUGGGUUGGAGAGCUGCUGGUUGCAGCAGAGAAAACAGGAGGGGUUUUGGGUCUGUUUGGUUGGCUGAUUUUGUGGAUUUGGGGUCUAUUUGGAUCGUGGUUUUGCCGGAAAAAGAGGUGAACGGAGAUGGUUUGUUGGGUUGGAGUUUCUCGGAGGUUGUUUGGUUGUUGUUAAUGGUUGUUUUCGGUGGCUUUUGGUCUUUGGUGGUGGCUGGAUUGUUGCUGGAAACGAAAAGGGGGGUGAGCACUGGCUCGCCGGAAAUGGAGUUUGAGUGGUGAUGAGGAAGGAGGGUGGCGGCAGCUUUGACAAGAUGAUAGAAAAAUCGUUUUUGGUUUCAGUCAUUUUGAAAUUUUUCACCACUUGGACUAAAAAUAUUGUUCAUCCUCUUCACUUAAUGAAUAAGCUAUUGUUUAUAUAGAAAAUUGAAAAUUAUCUAUAGUAUAAUACGAUUAUCUUAAAAUCAUGGGCUGAAACCAUUAGUUAAAUAAAAUAUUUGUAUAUAAAUCUUAUUUAUAUUUGAAUCAAUUUUUAGACAGUGCAAAAUAUCAAAAUUAAUAUUAGCAAAUGUAACAAAUAAAAAUGAAUAUUAUUAAAAAAAAGGAAAGUAAUGAACGUAACAAAUGACAUGUAUAAAGUGCAAUUUAAUAGAAAUAACUAUUUAAUCAAGAUGAACAAAUAUUUGAACGUAUUUAACCAGCUAUGACAAAAAAUAAUGAAAUUAAAAUUAACUGAUAAAAAAUCCUAAAUUUUGACAAAUAAAAAUAAUUAUCGAUAAACUUAUUUAAAAUUAUAAAAAAUGUAUUUUGAACAAUUAAAUAAAUAAAACUUAAAAGUUACGAAUUUUGAAAAUGUUAGGUCAAAAUUGGGUGUCAACAAUUAUAGAUGACCUUUUUUUUUUCUUCAAAUACAAAAAUUAAAUUACAAUAUAGACAAAAAAAAAAUUGUUUUAAAUUAUAAUAUAGCUGCAAAAAAAUAGUUUUAAUUUUUUUUUCUUUACACCAAGGAAUGAAAGAAAAAAUAAAAUAAGAAUAAGAAACUAAAAUAAUGAAAAUCAAAGAAGUCAAAAAAUAAUUUAUGUAUGAAAAAAAUUGAAAUAUACCUUGAACUUUGCAGAAGAAUCUUAUAUAUCCCUAAAUGAUUUUUAAAACAAUUAAAAGUCAAAAAUAUAAAUUUAAAAUUAAUUUUUUCACUUCCGUUAAAUGAAGAUAUAUGUGAGCUCAUUUUGUAACGAUAGGGUAUAUGUGAGCCGUUUAUAUAACAACAAAGGUAUAUAUGAGUCACUUUCAUAACGAGGACAUAUCAACUCUAAAUAAAAAAAUUGACAGGUAUAUCAGACCCUUUUCCCUAGAAAAAAUAAUACCUUAGAGAAAAGGAAAAUGGAACAGAAUCCAAUUCUUCACAAUUCUAAAACGUAUUCAUGAUAUGCUAGGCCAAACUAAGCACUACAAUGAGCUGUUGAAAAAUGGACAAGUGCACAAAGCAAAAAGUAACGAAUAGACAUAAAGCAAAAGAUACCUUCCUCAAUUAUUCAAUUAGUGGAGUCAUACUUUUUGAAAAGAGAAACGAGGACAGUUUUGCUUCUUGUAGAUUAGCUGAAACAUAGUUGUACUAAUUUCAAGCAAUCACUGAUCAUUCUUGUUUGCAAAUUACUCUCAACAUUCAACAGGUAAAGUAAGUUCUAUCUUAGUAGUUGAAGAUAGAAAAAUUUAUCUUCUCAUCAAAAUCAUUUUGUGUUUCCUUGUUUUGAUUUGCAGAUUUCAGAAAUGGAGGUUGGCUUAGCAGUUGGUGGUGCAUUUCUUCUCUUCAGCUUUGAAUGUUCUCUUUGAUAGGCUUGCUCCUCAGGGUGAUCUUCUCAACAUGUUUCACAAGCAUAAGCAUCAUGUUCGGCUCUUCAAGAAGCUGAAAAUGACUUUACUUGGUCUUCAAGCUGUUCUAAGUGAUGCAGAGAAUAAGCAGGCAUCAAAUCAAUUUGUGAGCCAGUGGCUUGAUGAGCUUCGAGAUGCUGUGGACAUUGCUGAAAACUUAAUUGAACAAGUCAAUUAUGAAGUUUUGAGGCUUAAGGUUGAAGGUCAGCAUCAGAAUCUUGCAGAAGCAAGCAAUCAGCAAGUAAGUGACCUUGACCUGUGCUUAAGUGAUGAUUUUUUUCUUAACAUAAAGGAGAAGUUGGAAGACACCAUGGAAACAUUGGAGGAUUUGGAAAAGCAAAUUGGCCGCCUUGGCUUAAACGAGCAUUUUGGUUCGACUAAACAAGAAACUAGAACACCUUCAACUUCUUUGGUUAAUGAAUCUGAUAUCUUUGGUAGGCAGAGCGAAACAGAGGAUUUGAUUGACCGUUUAUUGUCUGAAGAUGCAAGUGGAAAAAAUCUGACUGUAGUUUCUAUUGUUGGAAUGGGUGGCGUGGGUAAGACAACACUUGCUAAAGCGGUUUACAAUGAUGAGAGGGUGAAGAACCAUUUUUGUUUGAAAGCUUGGUAUUGUGUUUCUGAGGCAUAUGAUGCUUUCAGAAUAACAAAAGGGUUACUUCAAGAAAUUGGCUCAUUUGACUUAAAGGAUGACAACAAUCUUAAUCAGCUACAAGUCAAAUUGAAGGAAAGCUUAAAGGGAAAGAAGUUUCUUAUUGUAUUGGAUGAUGUGUGGAAUGAAAACUACAAUGAGUGGGAUGACUUGAGAAAUAUUUUUGUACACGGAGAUAUAGGAAGUAUGAUAAUUGUAACGACACGUAAAGAGCGUGUUGCCUUGAUGAUGGGUAGUGGGGCAAUCAACGUGGGGACUCUGUCUGAUGAAGUCUCUUGGGAACUAUUCAAACGACAUUCACUAGAAAACAGGGAUCCUGAGGAACAUCCAGAACUUGUAGAGGUUGGAAAACAAAUUGCACACAAGUGCAAAGGAUUGCCUUUAGCUCUAAAGGUACUUGCUGGUAUUUUACGCUGCAAAUCAGAGGUGGAUGAGUGGAGAGACAUUUUUGAGAAGUGAAAUAUGGGAGCUUCCAAGUUGUUCGAAUGGUAUAUUACCAGCGCUAAUGUUGAGCUACAAUGAUCUUCCUGCACAUUUGAAGCAAUGUUUUGCUUAUUGUGCAAUAUAUCCUAAAGAUUAUGAAUUUUGCAAAGACCAAGUUAUUCACUUGUGGAUUGCUAAUGGUCUUGUACAUCAGUUGCAUUAUGGUAACCAAUACUUUCUCGAGUUGAGAUCAAGAUCACUGUUCGAAAGGGUCCCAAAGUCUGCAUGGAAACUGGAAGUAUUCUUAAUGCAUGACCUUGUCAAUGAUUUGGCCCAAAUUGCAUCUUCAAAUCUUUGUAUAAGGUUGGAAGAGAACAAAGGAUCGCAUAUGUUGGAACAAUGUCGGCACAUGUCCUAUUCAAUAGGAGAAGGUGGUGAGUUUGAGAAAUUGAAAUCACUCUUUAAAUCAGAGCAGCUGAGGACAUUACUUCCAAUCAAUAUGCCUUUCUAUUGCCAAAAUAAGCUAAGCAAGAGGGUGCUGCAUAACAUUUUGCCAAGACUAACAUCCUUAAGGGCAUUAUCGUUGUUACGCUAUGAAAUUGUUGAGUUGCCAAAUGACUUAUUUAUCGAAUUAAAGCUCCUGAGAUUUUUGGAUAUUUCUCGGACAAAGAUUAAAAGGUUGCCAGAUUCCAUUUGUGUGUUGUAUAACUUAGAGACACUUCUCCUUUCAUCUUGUGAUUAUCUUGAGGAGCUACCGCUGCAGAUGGAGAAGUUGAUCACCUUGCGUCAUCUUGACAUAAGCAACACUCGUGCCUUGAAGAUGCCACUAUAUCUGAGCAAGUUGAAAAGCCUCCAAGUGUUAGUGGGAGCCAAGUUUCUCUAGGUGGUUCGAGAAUGGAAGAUUUGGGUGAAGUACAUAACUUGUACGGAUCUCUAUCAGUUGUAGAGUUGCAAAAUGUGGUUGAUAGUAGGGAAGCUGUGAAGGCAAAAAUGAGAGAGAAGAAUCAUGUUGAGCAGUUAUCUUUGGAGUGGAGUGGAAGUAGUAGUGCCGACAAUUCACAAACAGAAAGAGACAUACUUGAUGAGCUACGCCCACAUAAAAACAUAAAAGAAGUCGAGAUCACCGGAUAUAGAGGGACAACAUUUCCAAAUUGGCUAGCUGAUCCUUUGUUUCUUAAUCUAGUAGAGUUGUCUAUUGAUAACUGCAAGAACUGUUAUUCCUUGCCAGCACUAGGACAACUCCCUUGUUUGAAAUUCCUUUGGAUUAGAGGGAUGCAUGGAAUAACAGAGGUGACGGAAGAAUUCUAUGGCAAUUUGUCCUCCAAAAAGCCUUUUAGCUCUCUUCAGGAGCUUGGAUUUGUUGAUAUGCCGGAGUGGAAGCAAUGGAACAUACUAGGAAUUGGAGAGUUCCCUAUACUUGAGAACCUUUCAAUUAUAAAUUGCCCUGAAGUCUGUUUGGAGAGACCCAUCCAACUUUCAUGUUUAAAAAGGUUUGCAGUUUGUGGUUGUCCUAAGGUUGGAGAAGCUCAAAUGUUUAGAUCCCAACUUGAGGGAAUGAAGGAGAUUGAGAAUUUAGAAAUUAGUGAUUGUAACUCUGUUACCUCCUUUCCUUUUAGCAUACUGCCCACUACCUUGAAGAGAAUAACCAUAUAUCGUUGCGAGAAAUUGAAAUUGGAGGUGCCAGUUGAUGAGAUGAGUAUGUUUCUGGAGGAAUUGACACUGUAUAAAUGUGAUUGUAUAGAUGAUAUAUCACCUGAGUUUUUCCCAACAGCACGCCAUUUGAAUGUAGAGGAUUGCCACAACCUUACUAGGGUUUUGAUUCCUACUGCCACUGAAAGACUCACUAUUUUGAAUUGUGAGAAUCUUAAAAUACUUUCGGUUGCAUGUGGGGGAACCCAGAUGACAAUUUUGUAUAUUGAGGGCUGUUGGAAGCUGAAGUGGCUGCCAGAACGUAUGCAGCAACUCCUUCCAUCUCUUAAGGAACUGUAUCUCUAUAAUUGUCCAGAAAUAGAGUCCUUUCCUGAAGGAGGAUUGCCCUUCAAUUUACAAGCCCUUUGGAUCAGAAAUUGCAAGAAACUGGUGAAUGGCCGAAAGGAGUGGAGUUUACAGAGACUCUCCUGUCUCAGAGAGUUAUCCAUCGUACAUGAUGGCAAUGACGAAGAGAUUGUUGGUGGUGAGAAUUGGGAGUUACCUUCCUCUAUUCAAAGACUUACCAUAGAGAAUCUGAAAACAUUAAGCAGCCAACAUCUCAAAAGCCUCACCUCUCUUCAAUAUCUAUGUAUUCGUAAUUUACCUCAAAUUCAGUCACUGCUGGAACAAGGGUGGCUUCCCUCGCCUCUUUCUGAGCUACGUUUAUAUCACCAUCAUGAGCUCCAUUCACUAGGUCUUUGGCACCUCACUUCGCUUCAAAUUCUACACAUCAUUAAUUGCCCUAAUCUCCAAUCACUUUCCGAAUCAGCACUGCCCUCUUCCCUCUCUAAACUACAUAUUCGCGACUGCGCAUUGCUCACACCACUACUAGAAUUUGACAAGGGGGAAUACUGGCCAGAAAUUUCUCAUAUCUCCACCAUACAGAUCAAUGAGGAAUACCUUUAAUGAUUAAAACAACUGUAAGUUUUUCUUUUUCCUCAUAAGCCUUUUAUUAUUUUUUCAACUUCUCUUUGCUUUUAUGUUAAUGCUUUUUCUUUAUUACAUUCUUGUUUCGCAGUAUGGAGUGUCUAUUGCCACUAUGAAGCUGAUGAUUUUAAUUUUAGAACUCAAUAGCAAUUAAUGUUACAUAUCUUACUCGAAGAUUUUUAUCGCUUGAACUUUCAUCUCAAUAGCAAGUCAUGUAUACUUGUUCUUUCCCUUUUCAGUGAGUUUAGAGUGAUGCACAUGUCCACUAUCAAAUUCAAAACUCUUAAUAGAAUUCAAAGGUGUACCAUACACAAGAUGUGUUUCAGUGAGUUUAGAGUGAUGCACAUGUCCACUAUUCAGGUUUUUAUUAAUGAUUCAGCCCCAUCGUAGAGAUCGAUUGGGAAUACCUGUGAUGAUUAAAACAAAUGGCUCUCCAACUGAUGUAAGUUAUUCUUUUCCAUCAGAAGCUUUUUAUUUUUGUUUUCAUUUUGCUUUUUUGUUGAUUCUUUUCCUUUAUAAAACCUUGUUGAGCAGUGUAGAAUGCCUAUUGCUCAAAUCAUAAAUCUUGAUUAGGAGAACCCUGUAAUGAUUAAAACGAGUUCUGCUCCGAUAGAUGUAAGUUAUUCUAUUUCCUUAAAUGUAACUAAUAUUCACUGGAUAUUCUAUUUCCUUAGUAUAUUUUGAUUGAGAUAAUUUGCUCAAGAAAGUUGAUUGCUUAAUAUAUGUUAUCACCUUUGGAGAUAUAGGGUCCAAGAAAUGCAACCUCACUUUCUCAAUCAGGUAGCCAACACAUUGAUAAAAGUUAUAUCAAGCUUCAAAUUUAAAGAAAUUGAAAACGACUUUGAAUAUCUGCUUCCAUUAUUUUACGCCAUGUUGUACCACAUUGAUUUCAAGUUUGAUUCCACUGCAUAAUUACAUCAGUUUUUUUUUUGUUUUGAUAUUCAAUUAUCUAGAAUAUUACAUCACUUUUUGGUUUUGAUAGUCAGAGAACUUUGAAGAUUAUGAAGUUUCCUUCAAAUUAAGCCCAUUACUCAACCUCGAGUGACACCUCAGAGCUAGCGGAAAGUCAAGAAAGUUUAUCCUGCUCGGGAUGAAGUUAAUGUUAGAUAACAAAAUAAUGAUUUACUCGUGUUUCAGUUACUAAGAUUCUUAUUUUGUAGUAAUAUUUUGGACUCUCAUAACUCAGUGACAUGGAUUUCCUUCAUUGGCACCCUCAUCAGUCAUCAAUCAGUGAAACAGAGAAAUCGACUGUUUCAAAACUCUCUGAAACCCAUUUUGAGCUUCAUGCCUUCAAUUCCGAUGAAACCCAAAAGGCAUCAACAGAGUAGAAGAAUUCAACCCAAAACCCAUUUCAACCCAAGUUUUCUAUUCCUGCUUCACCUGAUAGGAAGAAGUUUACGUAUGAGAAAGGUCUAAAGGUACAAAUAUUUUUUCUUCUCCUUUUCUUACUGUGGUGCUUAAAUUGGUUUUGUCCCACUUUGCAUCACAAUGAUGUUGGAGUAUAUCGGUUUUCUACUGGUAUUCAGAUACUUAAAAUGGAAAAUUGCUUUGGAAAAUAUCGUUUCAUUGUUCGAAAGUUGUUUAACAUACAAUUGGCAUCUGUUGAUCCAAUUUUUUCAUUUUUCUGUUAAUCUUCUUCUAUCCUUAGUUUACAUGUCUUCUGAUUGAGUUAUAAUACAUGCCUUGAUUCUAUUGAAGAUGAGAAAUCGUCAAAUGCCUUUAUGAAGUGUUUGCUAAGUUGAUGUCGCCUAAUUCACAUUUCACUGAAUUAAUUUCUGACCCAAGUUUAUGCAUAUGUUUGGUCUAACAUUGAAAAGGAAAAAUGUCGAAUGAUAUGGAUAUUUUUGUUUUUAAGAAUACAAAGUCACUAUAAAGGUAGAAAAUUUCGAUGGUAUUAAUUUUGAUAUGCAUCACCAUUGAGAACUUUGCCUGAGGUAUUAAUUUCUAUUUUCGCUGUUUAGAAAUGUUUAAUGUAACUCCUAAUUGUGAUGCUUCAUUCACACAUUUUUGAAAUAUAUUACAUAGAAAAUAUGCUUCUAUCCAAGGAAAAUUAUAUCUGCCUAGCUCUAACCUCCAGUACGUGUAUUCAUGAAUAAAAUGAUAGAAAAUGGAAACAAGGAAGGAAAACAUGUGCUGUUUGUUCUCGAUUUUUAAAUAUUGUAUCCUCUUUCGCUUCUGUUUUUCAUUUGCUCUCCUAGCUAAUAGUCUUUUAUUUACUGAAUAAUCAUAUGUUAUAUGUCUCCUUAAGUUCCUGUAUUUUUUAUUUCACAAACUUCACAUAAGCAUACAAGUAAUUGCAAUAGUUUAUUUGUGCUUCCAGAUUCGUUUAGUGUGAGGUCUGAUUUUUCUUUUUCCUUUUACAGCUAUUAGGAAAAGCUUGCCUAUGUGGCUCUUGACUAUGAGCAGGAGAUUGAAACUGCCAGGAGCAGCUCCUCCACUGAAAAGAACUAUGAAUUGCCUGAUGGACAAGUUAUUGCCUUUGGUGCUGAGAGGUUCCAUUGCCCAGAGGUCCUCUUCCAGCCAACGAUCCUUCCCGUGCGUUGAUCGUGGAUAAGACACUCAGAAGAAGAAAAGAUGACACGAAGAUGGUUAGCUGCAACAUGACUGACAGAAAUUUCUUUAUAGGAGGAAAAUGGAAUCUAUCAUGAAGAAUCCGGGAUGAAGACAUAGACCCACAGUGUGAAAGAGGUAAGAGAGUUUCAUCUACAAUGUUAACAGAAACUUUAAUAGGUAAAGGAGGCAGACAAUAGCAAUUGAUUAUCGUUUAGUGAUUAUCUUGCUUGUUAUAAACAUCAGGAGCAUUUGAUGGUAAGAUGUCAUAUAUCUUGGUAUCUAACAGGUACCCUGGGGUAUUAAUGAGUGAGGUUGAGGAUGGAAAGCCAUUCAGCCAAGUUGUUAAUGCUGCUAAAAGCCUUGGCUACACUAUUAAUGUUUGUAAAAUCACCAUAUAUAUGAGAAUUGAAGAUAUGACUUACAAAAACAGAAAGUUGUCGAUUGAAUAUAUGAUAUUGUCUAUUCAUAAUUAUGUGUAGUCUUACAUUUUUGUUUAUAUGUUGCUCUUUCUAUGAGUAAUUUCCACUCGUUUUCCUGUCAGGCAAGUGUUCCUCUGGUACAAUAAUAUUUUCUGGCCUUCUGCUUAGGAAGUUUGUCUAGGACUAAUUUGAAUGUGAGAGAAGUCAGAGAAACACGAGAAGCGAUUAAGAGAAUGUGUAAUACAAAUGUCUUACACAUGAAUUCUUCUUUUAUAUGCUCACUUUACGGUGCAUCUUCAUACAUUUGUCCAAUGUGGUGAACAUGCACAUACAACUCUAUAUUACAAUUAUCUCUUGUUAUUUACAUUUAGCUAUCUGAUUCUCCCCUCUAGCUGGUGCGUACAUGUAACCUGUAUAGGAUUUGAUGAAUAUGUCUAUAAGUUGAUCGGUCGACUUUCCAAACUUUAUAAGAGUGUCGUGAAAGCAUUUUUUGGGGAAGGGACAGUCGGUUUCUAUAUGCUUGGUCCUCUUGUCAGAUUCUGCAUACAAUGGAUACAAGUACAACUUGAUUAAUUAUCACACUCAAGUUUUGUUAUGAUCAAAUUUCAAUUGUUAGAGAAAAAUGUAUCUCAGGUUUAACUCUGCCCAAAAGUUACCUCAUGACAUGCGGAUUGCCAAAGAUCACAUAAAGAGAUUACAACAAAACAUCCUCAACUGAAGUGAGACUAACAUCUUAAUUCUUAUCGCUUGCACAGGGCGGAACAUAUGAAGUAUGUAUAACAUAACACAGGGGGGCUUAACAUUGGGUAAUAACUAAACACUAGGGAUGAGCUUGAGUGAGAUAUCAUUAAGAAAAUGGACUUUGUGCCUAACCCAGUCCAGAAAGCUAGUCCAAGAUCAUAUAAGGGUACCUUUAACCAAUGUGGUAAACUAACAGCAACCAUUUUCGAUCCUUUUGGUGGUUGUUAAUCUAUGUGCUCAUCGUUACCAUAGUCAUGACCCAAUAUUCUCUUUCUUCUAUAUUGCCCAAUUGCCUGAAAGUAUUAUAGUAUUUAGAAGUAAAACGUAUAUAAAGAAGGUAUCACUGUCCAUUUUGCAUCGUAAUUGUCUUUGAUUUUUGUUGAUAAUCCUUUCCAAGAGCAGGCUUCCUACCCCAAAAUUCUGUUUCCAGCUGGAUUAUAUAAGAAAUUUGGAGCCAUUCAAAACUUCUAAGGAGAUUCUAGUUCCUGUUCUAAUAAAGAAAUAAUGUCUUCAAUGCAUUGUCAAGAUGCAGUCAAUUUUCUAGCAGCAGUUAGCAGGAACCGUACAUCCAUCCCAAAAUAUCAUUAUGGAAGAAAUCGCUGACACUACACUUCAUCUCAAUUCUCAUUAGGAUAGUUGAAGUAUGAAGUUAUUCUUAUGUAUUUAUACUUAUCUGCAGAUCCUCGGGAUGAUCUAGGUGGUAUGGAUGCAGCAAGAAAGGUUAGGAAACGUCUUUCUUCUGAUUAAACUUACAGUGUCCAAGAUUUCAAUCCAUUUAUAUUGCCAAAUUAUUAUGCUGAUUAAGCAUUAUCUUUCUUUUUUCUUUAUCUGAACUUACCUGCAGUCUUACAGUAUGCAUAAUUGAUACAAUUAUUCUAUUUUGCAAAGGCUGGCUAUGAUAUUAUGUAAAAAGGCUGGCUAUGAUAUUAUGUGAAAAGAUCUGAGCUUCCAAUAUUGGAGACCCUAUAACCUUUAAAAUCCUCUGUUCAACCCAUAUGCAACAACUAUAUAACUCAACUGGAAAUGGCUAAGAAUCAAAUAUACGAUACUCCAAGACCACUCAAUUCUUUGUUUAUAAGCCAACAUAAACAAUAUGAUACAAUUAUUCUGUUUUGCAAUGUCAACUGCAACGAGUCUGAACCAUUGAAUUAACCAUCUAAAAGAACGUAAUUAAAAGUAAAUUUUGAAAAAAGAACGAAAAACUAGUUGAGUGAUUGGUGAUUAUCAUUUGCUUAUUCUGUUUUUUCCCCUUAUCAUGGUUACUUGUAAGUAUAAUCUCGUAAGGAAAAAAAACAUUCAAGCCAGUCCCAUCUGGAUAUAAAAUUCAAGGUUUCUUCUAGUCUGUGAUUCUGCUAUUCUCUUUUGUAUCAUGAAAAGUGUCUCGUUAGCUAUAGUCAUAUGUGCAUGAGAGUGUAGAGGGAGCAUCUCUGCUUCAUAUUUCAAGUACUUUGUUAUAAUCUUUCCUUAAUUUGUAUUUGGGAUGAUGAUGUCUUUGGGGGGUAGAAAAGCUGUGAUUAAGCCAGAAUCAUUUUCGCAGAUUGCGAUGGGAAGCAUAUCUUAUCCAACUUAAUAUAGUUAAUACUUGGUUUCUCGGUACCUUUCAUGAAACGUUCAUAGUUCUAAUUGGUUCUGUAAAUUUUGAGAAGUUGAACAUCCCUCAUAACAAUAUUUUGUUUUGAUGUCUUCAUAACAGGCUCUAAUUCUUGCUCGGCUCCUUGGACGACGUUUAAACCUAGAUAAUAUGAAGGUUAGGAUACAUGUCACCAUGUCUCUUUGUUUUGUUACUAGCUCAAUUAGCUUCAGAAACCUUGAUGCAUAUGCAAAUCCCUUUUCAGAUUGAAAGCUUGUAUCCUGAAGAAAUGGGACCAGAUGUGAUGCCUCUGGAAGACUUUCUAGUGAAUGGCCUUCCCUUACUUGAUAAGAAAAUUGAAGAUAGGACUAAACAAGCUUGAAUUUUCUGCGUUAGUUUGCUUGAUGAUGAUGCGUGGUAAUUCUUUCACUUCAUUUUUAGUUUGCUCAAUGGAUAAUGACAACUUGAUCUUUUAUUCUAAUCACAUUCUGCAAGUCACCAUACCUCUAGCAGCUUAAAGCAAAGCUUGCUCACUGACGGGAGUGUUAUGGUCAGUUGUUCACCUCUCGUAUCCACGACCAAUUAAAGAACGAGUUAGAAGUAUAAAUCUGUAAUGGCAUAGAUGAGGGAACAUUGAACUAUCUUUAAAUGAUAGUUCCAAAAUAUUUUCAUUAAUUAGUUCUUUUUUCAUGUAUUUAGGGUUGGGAAGGUGGCAGAUGGGUAUGCAGAAUUAUCAUAUUUUUUUCUUGAGACUUAUGUUGAGAAAAUUGUUAUAAGCUCUUGUAUUUAGUAUAACAUCAAUUGAAAAUUGGGAAGCAAAAACUUGUCGGCUCAUUCUACAUAAGACCUAUGUUUGGAUUUACAAAAACAACAUACCCAAUGUAACCCCACAAGUGGGGUUUGGGGAGGAUAGGAUGUAUGCAGACCUUGUCUGGAUUUGUUUGAAUAUAAUUCACUAACAUGUUCAUAUGGUAAUGAUGGGUUCGUUUGGAUGCAAAAUGGCAAUGUUAUCCAUACUAGUAGAAACUUAGAAUCUAUCUUUGGUUUCUUUAAGCGGUUUGGUCUCACCUUGUAAGGUUUGAAGUUUCAUUUCUUGUAUUGUCUUGAACAAGUGUAUAUCAAGGAGUAUUUAUUAACUUGUUGGUUGAAGAAAAAAAAUAGAUAUUUCUGUUUAUUGGUUUUUGUCUUCUUGAUAAGUGUCUACUUUAGAACUAUUAUGAAUUGUUCUAGCAAAAUCAACUGCUACAAACAGCUUCACUGAAAACAAAUAGCACAGAAGAAAGUGUCUGGCGGUCUGCUGCUUGGGGAAAAAUUGAUUAUUGAAAACACUUUUGUGUACAUGACAUUAACAUCACUCAUUUUCAGAUAUGAAGUUGGCAUCCAAGAAGUUCCAAAAGAUUUUGCAUUGGGAAGAUUAAGAGGAAGUGAUAAUGUGGUGCGCAUUGUGCACUUUCACCUCCCAUUUUGCUGUUUCUUUGGUCCCUCUUCUUUUUGUUCCAUUACUUUGUUUUCCGUUGGGAAUUUUCUUUUAACUGCUAUGGAGGUUCAACCAUAUCAUACUCGUCGUUAUUAGAUUAUCAAGGUAAAACAUUUUUAAUUGUUUAAAGCCCUUUUGUGAUGUCAUUUUUGUAGUGAUGUAUUACAUCAUGCUGUGAUUUUAAAGAAUUGCUCAUCUUUUACCCAUGCCUAAGGCGAACGCUUUACUUUGUCUUUACUCUUUACACAUCAUCUGGUGUCGCCCUGCAAAACUUUGUGCAGUUAAGGUCUUUGAUUCUAUUCUACCUUAAUCGUAGAAUGUAUCCCUUGUACUAAUUAGGAGGUAAUACAAACAGUAAGAUUAAUGACUUGGUUUUGUCGAAGAAUGACUAUGAUGAUUGAACGUCUGUAAUUUGGAUUGUUUGUCUACAGGUGGAGAUAUACAGCCGUUGUUACGAGAAACAACCUUUGGUUAUCCAAGGCGCUGGAGCAGGAAAUGAUACCACAGCAGCUGGUGUCCUAGCUGAUAUCCUUGACAUUCAAGAUUUAUUCCCUUGACCGAGUAUUAUACACUGAGAUACAAACAUUCGAUCCUCAAAGGAUGAAAAAUCGACUCUUCUUGUCCCUCUGCUUCAAUCAUUGAAGACUGAAAUCAGGCUCAUUUAGCACAUCCAUUUUUUGAAAAAAAAUUCGACACGUGAGAGUGCGUUGUCAGUUUAUGGAAAAUUAUUGCACGAUUUCUCGCGUCUAUCUUGUCACUAGUGAAAUUGAUCAUAUAUUUGCCUCAUUGCUUGACUAGUUUUUAAGAUUUCACUUCAGCUUAUAAUCAGUUUAUGUUGUAAUGACCAUUUUGGUACCUAAACUUUUUAUGUUACUACAAUUUUAGAGACUUAGUUAUUAUGCUUUCAGAAUAACAAAAGGGUUAAUACAACGUGUAGGAUGACUUGAGAAAUCUUUUUGUACAAGGAGAUAUAGGAAGUAAGAUCAUUGUAACAACACGCAAAGAGUGUGUUGCCUUGGUGAUGGGAAAUGAGCAAAUUAGCAUGGAGAAUCUAUAUAUGGACUACCUAUUUCAUUUUAUGAGAAGAGAAGAGAAUUUUAAAAAUGAUGUUGGCCUUUUCUUUUCUUCGACUGUCAGCUAUACAAAACCAAGACAAAUGUUGUAAUGGAGAACUUGUUCCCUCCAGCACUAUCUUCAUUUAUCUUUAUCCUGACAAAAUUUAGAAAGUAGAAAACGUAAAACAAAGAAAAUAAUAAGGAAGAAAGUGUGAAGAUUUACCAAAACUCUUGCUUCCAGUAAUGAAUAGUCAAGAAACCAGACUGGCAGACUCCAUAAUUAUUUUCUAUGGCUGUGAGCUGCAGACUGUAGAUAAAACAUAGUUGUACCAAUUACAAGCAAAAGAGAGGGGGAGAAAUCAUUCUUGAUUAUAUAUCACUCUUAGCUCUUAGCAUUCAACAGGUAAAAUAAAAUUGUUAGUAAUUGAAGUUUGAAACAUUUAUCUUCUUAAAAUCAUUUUAAGAAGAUAUCAUUUAAACCAUAUGGCAAUCUAGCUCGGCAAGAGAUACAUGCUAAAGUAUAUCCUGCUCGGGAUGAAUUCAAGGUUAGAUAAUAAAAUAAUGAUUUACUCGUGUUUCAGUUAUCAAGAUGCUUAUUUUGUAGUAAUAGUUUCCUCUCUCAUAAAUCAGCGAAAUAGAUUUCCUUCAUUGGCACCCUCAUCAGUCAUCAAUCAGCAAAACAGAGAAAUCAACGGUUUCAAAAUUCUCUGGAACCCAUUUCGAGCUUCACGCCUUCAAUUCUGAUGACACAAAAGACAUCAACAGAGUAGAAGAAUUCAACCCAAGUUUUCGACUCCUGCUUCACCUGAUGAGAAGAAGUUUACGGGAGAAAGUUUGCCUUAGGUAUUAAUUUCUAUUUUCGCUGUUUAGAUAUGUUUCCUGUAGCUCCUAAUUGUGAUGCUUCAUUUACACAUUUUUAAAAUUUUAUCUAAUAACAGGGAUACAGUAUGUCCGAGUCAACUUGAUGUUACAAACUUGCAGCUAAUUGUUGUGCGUUAUAUUUUUGCAUAUCAUGAAGAAUCCGGGAUGAAGACAUAGACCCGUAGUGUGAAAGGGGUAAGAGAGUUCCAUCUGCAAUGUUAACAAAAUCUUAUAUAAAAAUAAUAUAUACGAAAAUUAAUUUAUAAAAAUUAUAUACCAAAUUGAAAACUUAAAAUCAAUAUUAUAAAAAUAUUACAUCUUAUAUAUAUAAAAGAGAACCUUAUGCCCGCCUACGUGGCGCCACCACAAACCAGAAUUCUCUUUAAAUUUAUUUAUUUCCAAAACUAGCCUUCCUCUUUUAAUGAAAAGUUGUGACAUUUAUGAAAAAUUGUGAAUUUUAUGAAAAGUUUUGACUUUAACUAGCCUUCCCCUUUCAUGAAAAGUUGUGACUUUUAUGAAAAAUUGCGACUUUAAUGAAGAGUUGUGACUUUUAUGAAAAAUUCUGACUUUUAUGAAAGGUUGUGACCUUUCCGAAGGGUUGCAACCUUUCUAAUAAAUCACAAUAAACAUUUGUUCACAUUACCCUUUGUUGUCUAUAAAUAGAGGGAUUUCCUCUCAUUUUAAAACAACUGAAAUUCUGAAUCUCUUCUUCUUCUUCACAAUUAAAUAUUUGUUUGUUUUGCUCAUGUUGAGUGGCUCAGUGAUACCAUUGCUUAUGUUACAGAUCCUGGUAUGUAUUUUUACAGUCAUUAAUUUAUGCUUAUGUUAUUAAGAAUAAAUGAUAAAGAUGUAAUAAUUUUCAUUUUCCUUUACAUUAUUAAUUUUUGUUACUACGUAAUCUUAUAUGUAAGAUAAUAUAGUGUUUUUGUUUUAAUGACUGAUAGGUUUUUAAGUAUUAUUUUAUAAAUUCCAUGAUACUAUUAAAUUCCCGAGCGAAGCGCGGGUAAUUUUACCAGUAAAAGAUAAUUAAGUAUACUGCGAACUUAAUUAAAAUAUAAAAUUUAUAAUAUGUUAAAUUAAUUUUUUUUAAUAUUAUACAAAUUCAGAGUUGCACAUGUUCACCCUUGUGCUUUGAUAAAAUGCAGAAUCUUAUGUAUAAAAAAAUACAAGAGGUUGUGGUGAAAGUUUAUUUCCAAUAGAAAUACGUGAAUUUGGUGGUAUGCCGUCCCCACCAAAGACAUAACCUAUAUUUAUAAAGAUUAUGAAAACUUACUAGUUCAAGAAAAAAAGAAGUGAUGUAUGAUUGAGAAAAGAAAGGAAGAGAGUUUGUAGCGAGAGAGAGAUAUGGAAAGUUUCGCAAAGAGAGAGAGGCAUAUUUUGUUGUGUAUUAAAUAAGUCUGAAUAUUAUUAAACUUAUUAGCAAAUUUUAUUCGUUUUGAUUCUUUUUUCUUCUAUGGCUGUCCACCCACCAAAAUAAAUAAAAUAUCCUUCCUCUUUUGCCUCAAUUGUUGGCUAAAAGUCAACUCAUGGAAAAGAGACAAUUUAAAUUAUUAUUAUUAUUUUCCUAUAGCUGUCAGUUGUAGAUGGUAGAAAACUAUAGUUGUACCAAUUAUAGAUCACUGAUUAUUCUUGUUUGCAAAUUACUCUUAGUAAUUGAAGAUAGAAACAUUUAUCAUUUUGUGUUGCUUUGCAGAUUUCAGAAAUGGAAAUUGGGUUAGCAGUUGGUGGUGCAUUUCUCUCUUCAGCUUUGAAUGUUCUCUUUGAUAGGCUUGCUCCUCACGGUGAUCUUCUCAACAUGUUUCAGAAUCAUACGAAUGAUGUUCGGAUCUUUAAGAAGCUGAGAGCGACUUCGGAUGGUCUUAAGAUUGUGCUAAGUGAUGCAGAGAAUAAGCAAGCAUCAAAUCCAUCGGUGAGCGAGUGGCUUGAUGAGCUUCGAGAUGGUGUGCACUCUGCUGAAAACUUAAUGAGAAGUUAAUUAUGAAGCUUUGAGGCUUAAGGUGGAAGGCCAGCAUCAAAAUCUUGCAGAAACAAGCGACCAGCAAGUAAUUUGAUAUUUUGAUAAUUUGAUUGAUUCAGGAUGAACGUCGAUCGUAUGAUUACAUGGAUUCACAACCAGAUAUCAACGUCAGGGUCAGAGCUAGAAAAUUUUCUGGAAGGCUGAACUACUUGAAAAAAAUGAAAGUUACAUUACUGCACACAGAUGCGAGAUCAAGAGAAACUUUUUAGAUCUGUUGUCGAUAUUCUUAGCAGUGUAACUCAUGUGCACAUUCUACAGCAAAAAGUACAGUAAGUAGAAGAACUCAAUUUUUAGCAAUGAAAUGGCACCAUUUUCUCACACUCAAAAUGAUCUUAAAUUUCAUGAAUGAAACAAUCAUAUAUUACUUAGCUUGAAGCCCCAUUUUCUUCCUCGUUUUCCCAACGUAUAAAUCCUUAGACUUGCUCAUCUCGGGGACUAAUCCAAUGAUCGUCGUGAAUGAAAAUUGAGCCACUACUUCGAGGCUCGUAUAUUGCAAGUUUGCUUUCUUUUCCUCCGCUCAUCAAAAGUUUCAAGUUCUUCGCGGUCAUUAGAGCAUGUUUUUGAGCCGAAUAUCCUUGUUUAAGUUCCUGAUAGCAAAGAAGCAUUAGAGUUCAAUUGAACAAUAAUAACAUACACAGUAUAGUCUCACAAGUAGAGACUGUGGAGUGUUUACGCAGACUUUAUCCCUACCUUGUCAAGUAAGAACUCAAUUGAAUAAUAGAAUCAAAACUCAAGUAAUAGAUAGCUGCUUCAGGUCCUCUGCCUACUGCUAUAUUAUCAAAAUGCCUUCUAAAUUCGACAUAUAUAUUCUUCAACUGUAGUUUCUCUUGUAACAACAACAACAAAUCCUUAUGUUUCUAUGACCCUUGAUUCUAAGAUUCUCAUCAACCUUCAAUCUUCCAAAAUUAUCGAUUCGAUCCUUCAAAUACGUCUCCCUUAACCACUCUGAACUCGGUGGCUUUCCCGUGCAAAGAAAAUUGGCUGAAUCCCAUGAAAUUACUAGUACAUCUUGACAUCUUUGUAAAAGAGUAGAUCGCAGUCAUGAUCAAGACAAUUGGUUGAAUCCCGUGAAAUUAACUUAAAUCUAAUAUAAAAAUAUUAUACCCUUUAACUUGGCCUCAACUCCUAAAUAUGCCCUCCAACUUUGGAUGUACUCGAGUAGUCAGUUAAAUUUGUAUAAAGUUGAAUAAAUAGAUACAAGCGUCCUAAGUGACAUCUUACAUGACAAUUUUUCAUCUGACGUGUCUUGUAUGUAUUAUGUCACGUAAGACUUGUGUGUCUAUUUGUUCAACUUUAUACAAGUUAAAGUGUUUACUUGUGCAUACCCAAAGUUGGAAGACAUAAAUGUGAAAUGAUGCCAAGUUAAAGAGCAUAUUAUUCAAAAUUCAAAAAUAGGGUUUGAAGUUUCAAUUCCAUUGAUGGAUAACGUUACAAUUUUAGUGUAGCACAAUGGAACUUGGAAUUCAAACAACCACUACAAUAAUUAUCACAUUGAUGCAAUUUUAGUCAAUUCUACUUCCAAUUUGACAAAUUUGGUCAUAAAUUUAUCUUAUUAUCCUUGACAGAAUGUUAUGGAUGGUUCUAAAAUUAUGAAAUAAAAUGUAUUUAUUAGGAUAAAUUUACUUUUUUACCCUUGGUCGUUCUUGGUCUCCACAUUUCUAUAUAGUAGAAAAAUUCAAGAGGUCAUUUUCAGAUAAUUUAACAUCUAAAAGCAUCCAAACAAUGAUCUACCUGGCCUCAACUAUUAGUAACUUUUAAUUAUUAUUUUUUCUUGAUCGGAUUUUGGUAAUGAUUAUGUUCUUUGCUUAGCUAGUGAAAGUUUUAUUUCCAAUAUAAAUAUGUGAAUUUUGGUGGUAUGUGAUCCCCACUAAAUUAUAUGUCAACUCUUUUUUCCCUUUUUAAAAUAGGAAUAAUACAUAAACAAUUUCUUAGUACACGUUAGAACUUACUAUAUAUGCUUAGAGUAAUUGUUUAAUUGUUUAAUUCUACACCAUAACUCCACGUUAUUGCCACUAUACCAAAAAGUCAAUCCUCCCAAUUUGAACCAUCCAUUUAUUCCAACCUACCCAAUAACUUAAAGCUUGAGGCAAUCCUCCCAAUUCGAAAAGUCUUUUUCUCUGAACAUAUGACAUGUAUUUAUUGGUUUAUUGUAAAUAACAAAUACAAAUACGUUUUCACCUAAUCUGAGUUUGUUUGGGGUGUUUUAUCUCUCACUAUCAAGAGGAACUUUAUCACAACGAUUCAAGCUCGAAAUCUCUAAUUAAAUACGAAAAAUUAUAUAUCUUUUUUUUUUUAUAAGGGAAAGAUCCUCUUGAUGUUAUCAAAUUCCCAACUUGGCAUGCUUUAAAGUAUAAAAAAAAUAUUAUGAAGACAGAGUCUUGUUGUUGGGUGAAAAGUCAUCCUCAUGGAAAAGACAGCUUAAAUUCUUUUUUUCCCUAUAGUUGUCACUGUAGAAAACUAUUGUUGUACCAAUAUUCUUGUUUGCAAAUUACUCUUAGCAUUCAACAGGUAAAGUAAAGUUCCUUUAGUAAUUGAAACAUUUAUCUUCUCAAAAUCAUUUUGUGUUUCCUUGUUUUGCUUGCAGAUUUCAGAAAUGGAGGUCGGCUUAGCAGUUGGUGGUGCAUUUCUCUCUUCAGCUUUGAAUGCUCUCUUUGACAGGCUUGCUCCUCAUGGUGAUCUGAUGAAGAUGUUUCAGAAGCAUAAGGAUCAUGUUCAGCUCUUACAGAAGCUGCAGGACAUUUUUCUUGGUCUUCAGAUUGUGCUAAGUGAUGCAGAGAAUAAGCAAGCAUCAAAUCGACACGUGAGCCAGUGGUUUAAUAAGCUUCAGAGUGCUGUGAACGGCGCUGAAAACUUGAUAGAAGAAGUCAAUUAUGAAGCUUUGAGGCUUAAGGUGGAAGGCCAGCAUCAAAAUCUUGCAGAAACAAGCAACAAACAAGUAAGUGACCUCAACCUGUGCUUGAGUGAUGAUUUAUUUCGUAACAUAAAGGAUAAGUUGGAAGAAACCAUUGAAACAUUGGAGGUGUUGGAAAAGCAAAUUGGUCGCCUUGGCUUAAAGGAGAAUUUUGUUUCGACUAAACAAGAAACUAGAACACCUUCAACUUCUUUGGUUGAUGAUUCUGAUAUCUUUGGAAGGCAGAGUGAAAUAGAGGAUUUGAUUGACCGUUUAUUGUCUGAAGAUGCAAGUGGAAAAAAGCUCACUGUAGUUCCUAUAGUUGGAAUGGGCGGCGUGGGUAAGACAACACUUGCUAAAGCCGUUUACAAUGAUGAGAAGGUGAAGGACCAUUUUGGUUUGAAAGCUUGGUUUUGUGUUUCUGAGGCAUAUGACGCUUUCAGAAUAACAAAAGGUUUACUUCAAGAAAUUGGCUCAUUUGACUUAAAGGAUGACAACAAUCUUAAUCAGCUACAAGUCAAAUUGAAGGAAAGAUUAAAGGGAAAAAAGUUUCUUAUUGUUCUGGAUGAUGUCUGGAAUGACAACUACAACGAGUGGGAUGACUUGAGAAAUGUUUUUGUACAAGGAGAUAUAGGAAGUAAGAUCAUUGUGACGACACGUAAAGAGAGUGUUGCCUUGAUGAUGGGUAGUGGGGCAAUCAACGUGGGGACUCUGUCUGAUGAAGUCUCUUGGGAACUAUUCAAACGACAUUCACUAGAAAACAGGGAUCCUGAGGAAUAUCCAGAACUUAAAGAGAUUGGAAAACAAUUUGCAGACAAGUGCAAAGGUUUGCCUUUAGCUCUAAAGGCACUUGCUGGUGUUUUACGCGGUAAAUCAGAGGUGGAUGAGUGGAGAGACAUUUUGAGAAGUGAAAUAUGGGAGCUUCCAAGUUGUUCGAAUGGUAUAUUACCAGCGCUGAUGUUGAGCUACAAUGAUCUUCCUGCACAUUUGAAGCAAUGUUUUGCUUAUUGUGCAAUAUAUCCCAAAGAUUAUCAAUUUCGCAAGGACCAAGUUAUUCACUUGUGGAUUGCUAAUGGUCUUGUACAGCAGUUGCAUUCAGGUAACCAAUACUUUCUUGAGUUGAGAUCAAGAUCAUUGUUCGAAAGGGUCCCAGAGUCUGAAUGGAAACCGGAGGGAUUCUUAAUGCAUGACCUUGUCAAUGAUUUGGCCCAAAUUGCAUCUUCAAAUCUUUGUAUAAGGUUGGAAGAGAACAAAGGAUCGCACAUGUUGGAACAAUGUCGGCACAUGUCCUAUUCAAUAGGAGAAGGUGGUGAGUUUGAGAAAUUGAAAUCACUCUUUAAAUCAGAGCAGCUGAGGACAUUACUUGCAAUCAAUAUCCAGCUCUAUGAUUACAAAAUUAAGCUAAGCAAGAGGGUGUUGCAUAACAUAUUGCCAAGACUAACAUCCUUAAGGGCAUUAUCGUUGUCACGCUAUGAGAUUGUUGAGUUGCCAAAUCACUUGUUUAUUGAAUUAAAGCUCCUGAGAUUUUUGGAUAUUUCUCGGACAAAGAUUAAAAGGUUGCCAGAUUCCAUUUGUGGAUUGUAUAACUUAGUGACACUUCUCCUGUCAUCUUGUGCUGAUCUUGAGGAGCUACCGCUGCAGAUGGAGAUGUUGAUCAACUUGCGUCAUCUUGACAUAAGCAACAUUUCUCUCUUGAAGAUGCCACUAUAUCUGAGCAAGUUGAAAAGCCUCCAAGUGUUAGUGGGAGCCAAGUUUCUUUAGGUGGUUCGAGAAUGGAAGAUUUGGGUGAAGUACAUAACUUGUACGGAUCUCUAUCGGUUGUAGAGUUGCAAAAUGUGGUUGAUAGUAGGGAAGCUGUGAAGGCAAAGAUGAGAGAGAAGAUUCAUGUUGGCAAGUUAUCAUUGGAGUGGAGUGAAAGUAGUAGUGUCGACAAUUCACAAACUGAAAGAGACAUUCUUGAUGAGCUACGCCCACAUAAAAACAUACAAGAAGUCCGAAUCACCGGAUAUAGAGGGGACAAAAAUUUCCAAAUUGGCUAGCUGAUGUUUCGUUUCUUAAGCUAGUAGAAUUGUCUCUUAUAAACUGCAAGAACUGUUAUUCCUUGCCAGCACUAGGACAGCUUCCUUGUUUGAAAUUCCUUUCCAUUAGAGGGAUGUAUGGAAUAACAGAGGUGACGGAAGAAUUCUAUGGCAGUUUGUCCUCCAAAAAGCCUUUUAACGCUCUUGAGAAGCUUGUAUUUGAAGAUAUGCCGGAGUGGAAGCAAUGGCAUGUACUAGGAAAUGGAGAGUUCCCUACACUUGAGAAGCUUUUAAUUAUAAAUUGCCAUGAACUCAGUUUGGAAACACCCAUCCAACUUUCAUGUUUAAAAAGGUUUGAAGUUGAUGGUUGUCAUAAGGUUGGAGAUGCUCAAAUGUUUAGAUCCCAACUUGAGGGAAUGAAGCAGAUUGUUGAAUUAGAUAUUAGUGAUUGUAACUCUAUUACCUCCUUUCCUUUUAGCGUUCUUCCCACUACCUUGAAGAGAAUAGUUAUAUCUGGUUGCCAGAAAUUGAAAUUGGAGCAGCCAGUUGGUGAGAUGAGUAUGUUUCUCGAGGAAUUGAAACUGCAAGAAUGUGAUUGUAUAGAUGAUAUAUCACCUGAGAUGCUCCCAACAGCACGCAGAUUGUUUGUAUGUAAUUGCCAGAACCUUACUAGGCUUUUUAUUCCUACUGCCACUGAAAGUCUCUAUAUUGCUUAUUGUGUGAAUCUUGAAAUACUUUCGGUGGCAUGUGGGAAGACCCAGAUGAUGUAUUUUCCAGAACGUAUGCAGGAACUCCUCCCAUCUCUUAAGACACUGAUUCUAUCUAAUUGUCCAGAAAUAGAGUCCUUUCCUGAAGGAGGAUUGCCCUUCAAUUUACAACAACUUCAUAUCUACAAUUGCAAGAAACUGGUGAAUGGCCGAAAGGAAUGGCAUUUACACAGACUUCCCUGUCUCAGAGAGUUAAGCAUCUACCAUGAUGGCAGUGACGAAGAGAUUGUUGGUGGUGAGAAUUGGGAAUUGCCUUCCUUUAUUCAAAGACUUACCAUAUACAAUCUGAAAACAUUAAGGAGCCAAGAUAUCAGAAGCCUCACCUCUCUUCAAUAUCUAUGUAUUGGUAAUUUAUCUCAAUUUCAGUCAAUGCUAGAAGAAGGGCAGCUCACUUCACUUCAAAGUCUAGACAUCAAUAAUUUCCCUAAUCUCCAAUCACUUUCCGAAUCAGCACUGCCCUCCUCCCUCUCUGAGCUGACCAUCAAUAAUUGCCCUAAGCUCCAAUCCCUUCCAGUAAAAGGGAUGCCCUCUUCCCUCUCUAAACUAUCAAUUCGCGACUGUCCAUUGCUCACACCAUUACUAGAAUUUGACAAGGGGGAAUACUGGCCAAAUAUUGCUCAAAUUCCUACCAUAACGAUCGACGAGGAUUCCAUGUGAUGAUUAAAAAGAAUGACUCUCCAACUGAUGUAACUUAUUCUUUUCCAUCAUAAGCUUUUUACUUUUAUUUACAUCACUUUGCAUUUUUGUUAAUUAUUUUCCUUUUUUAAACCUUUUUGAGCAGUCUAUUGCUCAAACCAUGGCUACUGACCAAAAAUUGCUCAUAUUUCCACCAUAAAUGUUCAUUGGGAGAACCUCCAAUAGAUGUAAGUUUUUCUAUUUCCUUAGUAUCUUUUGAUUUUCGGUUACUUCUCUUUGCUUGUUCCUUAAUUCUUUUUCUAUGUUGCAGAGAUGAAGUCUUGAGGAUAAAAAUAUGUUUUACUCCUCUUGAUAUGCAGAUAUGUUGCAGAGAUGAAGUCGCUGUGAGAUACAUUUAAAGUAUAUCCUGUUUGGGAUGAAUUCAAGGUGAGAUAACAAAAUAAUGAUUUACUCGUGUUUCAGUUACCAAUAUGCUUAUUUUGUUGUAAUAGUUUGCACUCUCAUAAAUCAGCGAAAUAGAUUUCUUCAUUGGCACCCUCAUCAGUCAUCAGUCUGCGAAACAGAGAAAUCAACGGUUUCAAAAUUCUCUAGAACCCAUUUCGAGCUUCACGCCUUCAAUUCUGAUGACACAAAAGACAUCAACAGAGUAGAAGAAUUCAACCCAACUCCCAUAAUGAACCCAAGUUUUCGAUUCCGCUUCACCUGAUGGGAAGAAGUUUACGAGUGAGAAAGGUCUAAAGGUACAAAUAUAUUGUCUUCCCCCUUUCUUAUUGCGGUGCUUAAAUUGGUUUUGCCCCACUUUGCAUCAUAAUGAUGUUGGAGUAUAUCGGUUUUCUACUGGUAUUCAGAUACUUAAAAUGGGAAAUUGCGUUUGAAAAUAUCGUUUUCAUUGUUCGAAUGUUUUUUAAAUCAUCUGUUGAUCCAAAAUUUUCAUUUUUCUGUUGAUCUUCUUCUAUCUUUAGUUUUACAUGUCUUCUGAUUGAGUUAUAAUACAUUCCUUGAUUCUAUAGAAGAUGAGAAAUCGUCAAAUGCCUACAAGUGGAGUCUGCAAAAAGUAGAGUUUACGCAUACUUUAUUCCUACCUUGUCAAUUGAAUAAUAGACUCAAAAUUCAAGUAAUAGAUAGCUGCUUCAGGUCCUCUGGCUACUGCUAUAUUAUAAAAAUGCCUUCUAAAUUCGACAUAUAUAUUCUUUAACUGUAGUUUCUCUUGCAACAACAACAACAAAUCCUUAUGUUUCUAUGACCCUUGAUUCUAAGAUUUUUAUCAACCUUCAAUCUUCAAAAAUUAUCGAUUCGAUCCUUCAGAUGCAUCUCCCUUAACCACUCUGAACCCGGUGGCUUUCCCAUGCAAAGAAAAUUGGCUGAAUCCCGUGAAAUUACUAGCUAGUACCUCUCGACAUCUUUGUAAAAGAGUAGAGAAGUCACGAUCAAGACAAUAGGUGAAUCUCGUGAAAUUAACUUAAAUCUAAUAUAAAAAUAAUAUAACCUUUAACUUGGCCUCAACUCAUAUAUAUGCCCUCCAACUUUGGAUGUGCGCAGGUAGAGACUUAAAUUUGUAUAGAGUUGAAUAAAUAGACACAAACGACCUAAGUGACAUCUUACAUGACAAUUUUCAUCUUACGUGGUGUCUUGUGUGCAUUAUGCCACGUAAGGCACAUGUGUUUAUUUGUUCAAUUUUAUGCAAUUUAAAGUGUCUAUUUGUGCAUACCCAAAGUUGGAGGACACAAAUGUGAAAUGAGGUCAAGUUAAAGGCCAUAUUAUUCAAAUUUCAUAGGGUUUGAAGUUUCAAUUUCAUUGAUGGAUAACGUUACAAUUUUGGUGCAACACAAUGGAACUUGAGAUUCAAACAACCACUAUGACCAAAGAACAAAAAAAACGGUUAACCGAGAGUCCUUGCCCGACAAAAAGCAAGGGUUUGCUUGUAGAAUGGGGGUAGGGCCGACAAUUUUUCUGGAUAGAUCGAACUAUUGGAAGAAAAUAAAAAAGAAAGACCGAGUGUUGUCACAUUGAUGCAAUUCUAGUCAAUUCCAUUUCCAAUUCAUAGAUCUAGUCACAAAUUUACCUUUUUUAUCCUUGGCGGAAUGUAAUGGAUAGUUCUAGAUAUAUGAAGAAAAUGUAUUUAUUAGUGUAAAUUUACUUCUUUACCCUUGGUCUUUCUUUGUCUUCACAUUUCUGUAUAGUAGAAAAGAAAAACACAAGAGGUCAUUUCUAGAUAAUUUAACAUCUAAAAUCAUCCAAACAACGAUCUACCUGGCCUCAACUAUUAGCGAGUUUUAAUUAUUAUUUUUUCUUGAUCGGAUUUUGGUAACGAUAGAUUCUUUGCUUAGUUGGCGAAAGUUUUAUUUCCAAUAUAAAAUGUGAAUUUUGGUGGUAUGUGGUCCCCACUAAAUUAUAGGUCAACUCUUUUUUUCCUUUUUAAAAUAGGAAUAAUACAUAAACAAUUUCUUAGUACACGUUAGAACUUACUAUAUAUGCUUAGAGUAAUUAUUUAAUUCUACACCAUAACUCCACGUUAUUGCCACUAUACCAAAAAGUCAAGCCUCCCAAUUUGAAACCAUCCAUUUAUUCCAACCUAUCCAAUAAAUUAAAGCUUGAGGCAAUCCUCCCAAUUCGAAAAGUCUUUUUCUAAACAUAUGACAUGUAUUUAUUGGUUUAUUGUAAAUAACAAAUACNNNNNNNNNNNNNNNNNNNNNNNNNNNNNNNNNNNNNNNNNNNNNNNNNNNNNNNNNNNNNNNNNNNNNNNNNNNNNNNNNNNNNNNNNNNNNNNNNNNNNNNNNNNNNNNNNNNNNNNNNNNNNNNNNNNNNNNNNNNNNNNNNNNNNNNNNNNNNNNNNNNNNNNNNNNNNNNNNNNNNNNNNNNNNNNNNNNNNNNNNNNNNNNNNNNNNNNNNNNNNNNNNNNNNNNNNNNNNNNNNNNNNNNNNNNNNNNNNNUAGCUGCUUCAGGUCCUCUGGCUACUGCUAUAUUAUAAAAAUGCCUUCUAAAUUCGACAUAUAUAUUCUUUAACUGUAGUUUCUCUUGCAACAACAACAACAAAUCCUUAUGUUUCUAUGACCCUUGAUUCUAAGAUUUUUAUCAACCUUCAAUCUUCCAAAAUUAUUGAUUCGAUCCUUCAAAUAUGUCUCCCUUAACCACUCUGAACCCGGUGGCUUUCCCAUGCAAAGAAAAUUGGCUGAAUCCCGUGAAAUUACUAGCUAGUACCUCUCGACAUCUUUGUAAAAGAGUAGAGAAGUCACGAUCAAGACAAUAGGUGAAUCUCGUGAAAUUAACUUAAAUCUAAUAUAAAAAUAAUAUAACCUUUAACUUGGCCUCAACUCAUAUAUAUGUCCUCCAACUUUGGAUGUGCGCAGGUAGAGACUUAAAUUUGUAUAGAGUUGAAUAAAUAGACACAAACGACCUAAGUAACAUCUUACAUGAAAAUUUUCAUCUUACGUGGUGUCUUGUGUGUAUUAUGCCACGUAAGGCACAUGUGUUUAUUUGUUCAAUUUUAUACAAUUUAAAGUGUCUACUUGUGCAUACCCAAAGUUGGAGGACAUAAAUGUGAAAUGAGGUCAAGUUAAAGGCCAUAUUAUUCAAAUUUCAUAGGGUUUGAAGUUUCAAUUUCAUUGAUGGAUAACGUUACAAUUUUAGUGCAACACAAUGGAACUUGAGAUUCAAACAACCACUAUGACCAAAGAACAAAAAAAACGGCUAACCGAGAGUCCUUGCCCGACUAAAAGAAAGGGUUUGCUGGUAGAAUGGGGUAGGCCGACAAUUUUUCUGGAUAGAUCGAACUAUUGGAAGAAAAUAAAAAAGAAAGACCGAGUGUUGUCACAUUGAUGCAAUUCUAGUCAAUUCCAUUUCCAAUUCAUAGAUCUAGUCACAAAUUUACCUUUUUAUCCUUGGCGGAAUGUAAUGGAUGGUUCUAGAUAUAUGAAGAAAAUGUAUUUAUUAGUGUAAAUUUACUUCUUUACCCUUGGUCUUUCUUUGUCUUCACAUUUCUGUAUAGUAGAAAAGAAAAACACAAGAGGUCAUUUCUAGAUAAUUUAACAUCUAAAAUCAUCCAAACAACGAUCUACCUGGCCUCAACUAUUAGCGAGUUUUAAUUAUUAUUUUUUCUUGAUCAGAUUUUGGUAACGAUAGAUUCUUUGCUUAGUUGGCGAAAGUUUUAUUUCCAAUAUAAAAUGUGAAUUUUGGUGGUAUGUGGUCCCCACUAAAUUAUAGGUCAACUCUUUUUUUCCUUUUUAAAAUAGGAAUAAUACAUAAACAAUUUCUUAGUACACGUUAGAACUUACUAUAUAUGCUUAGAGUAAUUAUUUAAUUCUACACCAUAACUCCACGUUAUUGCCACUAUACCAAAAAGUCAAUCCUCCCAAUUUGAAACCAUCCAUUUACUCCAACCUACCCAAUAACUUGAAGCUUGAGGCAAUCCUCCCAAUUCGAAAAGUCUUUUUCUAAACAUAUGACAUGUAUUUAUUGGUUUAUUGUAAAUAACAAAUACUUUUUCUUUCUCUAAUUACUUGUCCAUUUUUCCUUUUUUAGUUGUCCCUAAUUACUUGUCCAUUUUGACAAAUUAUUUUUACCUAUUAUACCCUCAAUUAAUUACUAUGAAAAAGAUAGAACUUCUUGAAAAUCUUAAAUUUUUAAUUCACCCACUUCAUAAUUUAAUAGGGGUAAAAUGGUAAACUCACUAUGUCAAUUAUUGUUUUCUUAAUAGGUGUGUCAAUUCAAAAGUGGACAAGUAAUUAGGGACAGAGGGAGUACAAUUAAGUUUUCACCUAAUCCCAGUUUGCUUGAUAAUAAUUUACUAUGUGGUGUUUUAGCUCUCACUAUCAAGAGGAACUUUAUCCUAACGAUUCAAGCUUGAAAGCUCUUAUUAAAUAUGAGAAAAUUAUGUGAAUACUUAAUUAAUUAGAUUAUAAUUUAGUAUAGAAACAAAAUAAUGAUUUAACUUUUGCCUAACAUUCUUUCCAUUUUUAGUAUAACUAAUUUCUCAUCACAUGCAUAGCACGUGGAGCUUCGACUUCUGAGUAACAACAAAAACUUGGUUAAACAUAUUUUUUAAAUUACCAAAUUUAAACUACAAAAUAAAGUUUAUUAAUGUUUCUUGAAGAACAUUAUAACAAAUUUACUCCUAUAUAUUUUGACAGACGUUAAUUAGUAAAAAAAAUCAUCCAACACUCUAUUAAUAUUUCUUGAAAAACAUUAUAACAAAUGUGUACUUUUUAAAAUUUUAUUGAAUCUUUACUUAAUAUUUAUAUUGAGUUAAAUAUUAGACAUGGUAGCUUUUGCUUUUAUACCUACUAGUCUUUGGGAACGUGCUUUGCACGUUUGUCCCAUAUUAUUACUAUUAUAAAACUUCUUUAUAUUUUAAAAAUUGAAUUAUAAAAUAGAAAUUGUUGAAAUUUAAAAUAUUAAUUCACUUUCCAUGUUUUCUGAUAGGCACACCAUAUAGUUUAAAUGUGAACAUAAGCAAGGUUGGUUAUGUUUUCAAAUGCUUCACAUCUUAAAAUUUAUGUCAUGACUUUCAGAAACUGGGAAUUCCUCCUCUUAUAGUCGUAUGCAUAACAAGAAGUUGUUGCGAAUGAAAGUAGUAUUUUGUAAAUAUUGAACAAAAAGUUGAUCAAUAUAUGUCUUCUUUAAUAUGGCUAUAAUAUCAUUGUCAAUUUUAUAGAAUACACCUAGUAAUAAAAGUAGUAAUUAUAUUAUGACGAAGAUAAUAAAUUAUUACUGACAUCAAAAAAUUGAAUCAAUAUAUAUUAAUUAUAAUUGCAUGUACAUGUAUAUCCUUUCUUUGAUUCAAGAUUAGGAUUUCUUUAACAUAAGAAUAUUAUUUGUAUGAUUGAAAUAUAAUAAGAAUCAAUCUCUAUUCAAGAACAUUUUCUUUCAUAUGAAAAUUUGACAUAAGAGUAUUACUUGUAUUGUUUAAGUAUAAUUGCAUUAGGAAAUACAAUAAGAAUCAAUCCUUAUUAAAGAACAAGGGACUUGAUAUAAAAAGUUGAAAUAUGUAAAAGAUGUUAAAAAGUAUAAGAUCUAAAUAUCCUGAAAAUUAUACAGAUAAUUUCUCAAAUCUAAAAAAUCUUAUUUCUAUAUUACGUUUCCUACAAACUAUAUUUUAUGUAUGUGAAAUAAUAAAAUUGAUAAAAAGAGAGUUGUAAAUAGCAUAUCCAGUAUGUACCGGAUGAUGAGAAGUGAAGAGCACACAGUUUCCAAACAAAAUCUGAAAUGAAGAGAAAUAAAUAAGAAUUAGUUAGCAAACUCAAGGAAAUCUUCAUAUAUUAAAUAUAUAUUGUUGAGAACUAAAAUGAGCAUAAGAGGAAUAAAGUAGUUACCAAUCAACAAUAUAUAUUUAUAUAUUUAAACUUUUAUGGCAUAUAGCUGCUAAUCUAUAUAUAUUAUAUAAAGCUUAAAGAUGAAAGAUUAAUGUGACUUGAGUUGUAUAAAAUCACUGCACAUGCACUAUAUAUUACUCCAAUUCUAUUUGACAAGGAACAUGAAAAGUUCACAUAACCGUUGGAAGCUCAAGGGAAAAAAUAGUAAAUGUGAGAUAUGAAAUAGUAGGAUUGUAAAUUGAGUUUAAGUAAUCUGUAUUAGGUUAAUUAAUGGGGAGAUGAAAAGAUUUUAUCAAUUAAAUGUAGUUAAAUUACUGAUAAAUAACUUUUUUUUAAAUGAUAAAAUGAUUACUCAACUUUUAACUAUUUAAUAUUUUAUUAUUUACAUGUUUUAUAACAUUUUUAUUUAGUCUAGGGGCAAAAUGAUAAUCCAACUUUGAAUGUUGGAGCUUCCCACUUAUAAUAAUAAUAUAUGAUUAUUAUCAAGGUAUGUGGUCCCCACCAAACUAUAGGUCAACUCAUUUUCCCCCUUUUAAAAAUAGGAAUAAUACACGUUAGAACUUAAUAUAAGCUUAGAAUAAUUAUUUAAUUCUACACCAUAACUCCACGUUAUUGCCUCUAUACAAAAAAAAAGUCAAUCCUCUCAAUAUAGCUUGAGGCAAUCCUCCCAAUUUGAAAAGUCUUUGCGUGAACAUAUGUCAUGUAUUUGUUAGUUUAUUGUAAAUAACAAAUACAAAUAAGUUUUCACGUAAUCUAAAUUUGCUUGGAAUGUUUUAGCUCGCACUAUCAAGAGAAACUUUAUCACAACGAUUCAAGCUCGAAACUUCUAAUUAAAUACGACAAAAUUAUAUAUAUAAAGAAAAUUAUAUAUAACAAAACAACUACAAGGGAGAAAUUUUAAUCAUUUCACUGUACCUCUUGAUGUUAUCAAAUUCCCAACUUGACAUGUUUUCAAGUAUAAAAAAAUAUUAUGAAGACAAAGUCUUGUUGGGGGGAAAAGUCAUACUCAUGGAAAAGACAGCUUAAAUUUAUUUAUUUUCCUAUAGCUGUCACUGUAGAAAACUAUUGUUGUACCAUUCUUGUUUGCAAAUCACUCUUAGCAUUCAACAGGUAAAGUAAACUUGUUAGUAAUUGAACAUACAAACAUUUUAUCUUUCUCUAAACUAUUGUUCUCACUUUACUUGUUUUGUUUUGCAGAUUUCAGAAAUGGAGAUUGGGUUAGCAGUUGGUGGUGCAUUUCUCUCUUCAGCUUUGAAUAUUCUCUUUGAUAGGCUUGCUCCUCAUGGUGAUCUGCUCAACAUGUUUUGGAAGCAUAAGGAUCAUGUUCAGCUUUUACACAAGCUGCAGGACAUUUUGCUUGGUCUUCAGAUUGUGCUAAGUGAUGCAGAGAAUAAACAAGCAUCAAAUCGACACGUGAGCCAGUGGCUUCAUAAGUUUCAGAGUGCUGUAGACGGCGCUGAAAACUUGAUAGAAGAAGUCAAUUAUGAAGCUUUGAGGCUUAAGGUGGAAGGCCAGCAUCAAAAUCUUGCAGAAACAAGCAAUAAACAAGUAAGUGACCUUAACCUGUGCUUGACUGAUGAAUUUUUCCUUAACAUAAAGGAGAAGUUGGAAGAAACCAUUGAAACAUUGGAGGUGUUGGAAAAGCAAAUUGGUCGCCUUGGCUUAAAGGAUCAUUUUGGUUCGACUAAACAAGAAAUUAGAACACCUUCAACUUCUUUGGUUGAUGAUUCUGGUAUCUUUGGAAGGCAGUAUGAUAUAGAGAAUUUGGUUGGUCGUUUAUUGUCUAAGAAUACAAAGGGAAAUAAUCUGGCUGUAGUUCCUAUUGUUGGAAUGGGCGGCCUGGGUAAGACAGCACUUGCUAAAGCGGUUUACCAUGAUGAGAGGGUGAAGAACCAUUUUGGUUUGAAAGCUUGGUAUUGUGUUUCUGAGCCAUAUGAUGCUUUGAGAAUAACGAAAGGGUUACUUCAAGAAAUUCACUCAUUUGACUCAAAGGAUGUCCACAACAAUCUUAAUCAGCUUCAAGACAAAUUGAAGGAAAGCUUAAAGGGAAAGAANNNNNNNNNNNNNNNNNNNNNNNNNNNNNNNNNNNNNNNNNNNNNNNNNNNNNNNNNNNNNNNNNNNNNNNNNNNNNNNNNNNNNNNNNNNNNNNNNNNNNNNNNNNNNNNNNNNNNNNNNNNNNNNNNNNNNNNNNNNNNNNNNNNNNNNNNNNNNNNNNNNNNNNNNNNNNNNNNNNNNNNNNNNNNNNNNNNNNNNNNNNNNNNNNNNNNNNNNNNNNNNNNNNNNNNNNNNNNNNNNNNNNNNNNNNNNNNNNNNNNNNNNNNNNNNNNNNNNNNNNNNNNNNNNNNNNNNNNNNNNNNNNNNNNNNNNNNNNNNNNNNNNNNNNNNNNNNNNNNNNNNNNNNNNNNNNNNNNNNNNNNNNNNNNNNNNNNNNNNNNNNNNNNNNNNNNNNNNNNNNNNNNNNNNNNNNNNNNNNNNNNNNNNNNNNNNNNNNNNNNNNNNNNNNNNNNNNNNNNNNNNNNNNNNNNNNNNNNNNNNNNNNNNNNNNNNNNNNNNNNNNNNNNNNNNNNNNNNNNNNNNNNNNNNNNNNNNNNNNNNNNNNNNNNNNNNNNNNNNNNNNNNNNNNNNNNNNNNNNNNNNNNNNNNNNNNNNNNNNNNNNNNNNNNNNNNNNNNNNNNNNNNNNNNNNNNNNNNNNNNNNNNNNNNNNNNNNNNNNNNNNNNNNNNNNNNNNNNNNNNNNNNNNNNNNNNNNNNNNNNNNNNNNNNNNNNNNNNNNNNNNNNNNNNNNNNNNNNNNNNNNNNNNNNNNNNNNNNNNNNNNNNNNNNNNNNNNNNNNNNNNNNNNNNNNNNNCUCUAAGCAAGAGGGUGCAGCAUAACAUACUGCCAAGACUAAGAUCCUUGAGGGCAUUAUCAUUGUCUCAUUACAAGAUUAAGGAGUUGCCAAAUGACUUAUUUAUCAAAUUAAAGCUCCUCAGAUUUUUGGAUAUUUCUCGGACAGAGAUUAAAAGGUUGCCAGAUUCCAUUUGUGUGUUGUAUAACUUAGAGACACUUCUCCUGUCAUCUUGUGAUUAUCUUGAGGAGCUACCACUGCAGAUGGAGAAGUUAAUCAACUUGUGUCAUCUUGACAUAAGCAACACUUCUCUCUUGAAGAUGCCACUAUAUCUGAGCAAGUUGAAAAGCCUCCAAGUGUUAGUGGGAGCCAAGUUUCUUUUAGGUGGUUUGAGAAUGGAAGAUUUGGGUGAAGCACAGAACUUGUAUGGAUCUCUAUCAGUUGUAGAGUUGCAAAAUGUGGUUGAUAGUCGGGAAGCUGUGAAGGCAAAGAUGAGGGAGAAGAAUCAUGUUGACAAGUUAUCUUUGGAGUGGAGUGAAAGUAGUAGUGCCGACAAUUCAGAAACUGAAAGAGACAUACUUGAUGAACUACGCCCACAUAAAAACAUAAAAGAAGUCGAAAUCACUGGAUAUAGAGGGACAAAAUUUCCAAAUUGGCUAGCUGAUCCUUUGUUUCUUAAGCUGGUGGAAUUAUCUCUUAGCAACUGCAAGGUCUGUUAUUCCUUGCCAGCACUAGGAGAACUCCCUUGUUUGAAAUUCCUUUCGAUUAGAGGGAUGCAUGUAAUAACAGAUGUGAUGGAAGAAUUCUAUGGUAGUUUGUCCUCAAAAAAGCCUUUUAACUCUCUUGUGGAGCUUAGAUUUGAAGAUAUGCCGGAGUGGAAGCAAUGGCACCUACUAGGAAGUGUAGAGUUUCCUAUCCUUGAGAAGCUUUUCAUUAAAAAUUUCCCUGAACUCAGUUUGGAGACACCCAUCCAAUUUUCAAGUUUAAAAAGGUUUCAAGUUGUUGGUUCUUCUAAGGUUGGAAUUGUUUUUAAUGAUGCUCAACUGUUUAGAUCCCAACUUGAGGGAAUGAAGCAGAUUGAAGAAUUAUAUAUUAGUGAUUGUAACUCUAUUACCUCCUUACCUUUUAGCAUACUGCCCACUACCUUGAAGAGAAUAAGGAUAUCUGGUUGCCGGAAUUUGAAAUUGGAUCCGCCAGUUGGUGAGAUGAGUAUGUUUCUCGAGGAAUUGAAUCUGAAGGGAUGUGAUUGUAUAGAUGAGUUGCUCCCAAGAGCGCACAAAUUGAGAAUUUGGAGUUGCCAGAACCUUACUAGGUUUUUGAUUCCAACUGCGACUGAAAUACUCAAUAUUUGGAAUUGUGAGAAUCUUGAAAAACUUUCAGUGGCAUGUGGGGGGACCCAGAUGACGUGUUUGAAUAUUUGGGACUGUAAGAAGCUGAAGUGGCUGCCAGAACGUAUGCGGGAACUCCUUCCAUCUCUUAAGGAACUACAUUUGUGGGAUUGUCCAGAAAUAGAGUCCUUUCCUGAAGGAGGAUUGCCCUUCAAUUUACAAGCCCUUCGGAUCAAAUAUUGCAAGAAACUGGUGAAUGGGCGAAAGGAGUGGCGUUUACAGAGACUCCCCUGUCUCAAAAAGGUAACCAUCUUACAUGAUGGCAGUGACGAAGAGAUUGUUGGUGGUGAGAAUUGGGAGUUGCCUUCCUCUAUUCAAAGACUUUUUAUAGAGAAUCUGAAAACAUUAAGCAGCCAACAUCUCAAAAGCCUCACCUCUCUUCAAUCUCUACGUAUUGGGGGUAAUUUACCUCAAAUUCAGUCAAUGUUGGAACAAGGCCAGUUUUUGCACCUCACUUCGCUUCAACGUCUACAAAUCAUUGAUUUCCCUAAUCUCCAAUCUCUUCCAGUAAAAGGGAUGCCAUCUUCCCUCUCUACACUAGAUAUUCGUGACUGUCCAUUGCUCACACCACUACUAGAAUUUGACAAGGGGGAAUACUGGCCAAAUAUUGCUCAUAUCUCCACCAUAAAGAUCAAUGAGAAAUGCCUUUAAUGAUUAAAACAAAUGGUGCUCUCACAAAUGUAAGUUUUUCUUUUUCCUCAUAAGCAUUCUUUUUUCUUUAACUUCCUUUGCUUUUAUGUUAAUUCUUUUUCUUUAUUACAUUCUCGUUGCGCAGUAUGGAGUGUCUAUUGCCACUCUGAAACUGAGAAAUCAUCUUCAGAUUAUAAUUAUUUUAAUUUUAGAUCUCAUUAGCAAUUAAUGUUACAUAUCUUACUCGAAGAUUUUUAUCGCUUGAACUUUCAUCUCAAUAGCAAUUCAUGUGUUCUUAUUAUUUCCCUUUUCAGUCAGUUUAGAGUCAUCCACAUGUCCACUAUCGAAUUCAAAACUAUAAUAGAAUCCAAAGGUGUACCAUACACAAGAUUUGUUUCCUAUGUAUCAAAAAUACAAAUGUUUGCCUCCCAAUAAAUUUAACACCUAAAAGCAUCAGCACUAUUCAGGUUUUUAUUAAUGAUUCAGCCCCAUCAUAGAGAUCGAUUGGGAAUACAUGUGAUGAUUAAAACAGAUGGCUCUCCAACUGAUGUAAGUUAUUCUUUUCCAUCAGAAGCUUUUUAUUUUUGUUUACUUCACUUUGAUUUUUUGUUGAUUCUUUUCCUUUUUAAAACCUUGUUGAGCAGUGUGGAAUGUCUAUUGCUCAAGAAAGUUGAUUGCUUAAUAUAUGUUAGCAGGAUGUCAUCACCUUUGGAGAUAAAGGGUCCAAGAAAUACAACCUCACUUUCUCAAUCAGGUAGCCAACACCUUGAUAAGAGUUACAUCAAGCUUCAAAUUUAAAGAAAGUGAAAACAACUUAAAUUGCCUGAUUCCAUUAUUGACGUCAUGUUGUACCACAUUGAUUUCAAGUUUGAUGCGACUGCAUUAUUACAUCAGUUUUUUUUUCAUAUUCAAAGAUCCAGAAUAUUACAUUAGUUUUUUGGUUUUGAUAUGCAGAGAACUUUGAGGAUUAUGAAGUUUCCUUCAAAUUAUGUCCGUUACUCAACCUCGAGUGGCACCUUACAGCUAGUGGGAAGUCAAGAAAGUAUAUCCUGCUCGGAAUGAAGUCAAGGUUAGAUAAUUAAAUAAUGAUUUACUGGUGUUUCAGUUACUAAGAUGCUUAUUUUGUAGUAAUAGUUUGCACUCUCAUAAAUCAGCGAAAUAGAUUUCCUUCAUUGGCACUCUCAUCAGUCAUCAAUCAGCGAAACAGAGAAAUCAACGGUUUCAAAAUUCUCUGGAACCCAUUUCAAGCUUCACGCCUUCAAUUCUAAUGACACCCAAGACACAGAAGACAUCAACAUAGUAGAAGAAUUCAACCCAAUACCCAUUUCAACCCAAGUUUUCGAUUCCUGCUUCACCUGAUGAGAAGAAGUUUAUGGGUGAGAAAGUUACAAAGCUGAAAAUAUCUUCUUCUAUCUUUUGUUUUACACAUCUUCUGAUUGAGUUAUAAUACAUGCCUCGCUUCUAUACAAGAUGAGAAACCAUAAAAUGCCUUUAUGAAGUGUUUGCGAAGUUGAUGUCACCUAAUUCAGAUUUCACUGAAUUAAUUUUUGAACCAAAUUAAUGCAUAUGUUUGCUCUAACGUUGAAAAGGAAAAACGUUGAAUGAUAUGGAUAUUUUCCUUUUAAGAAUACAAAGUCGCGAUAAAGGUAGAAAAUUUAGAUGGUAUUAAUUUUGAUAUGGAUCACCGUUGAGAACUUUGCCUGAGGUAUUAAAUUCUAUUUUCCCUCUUUAGAAAUGUUUCAUGUAGCUCCUAAUUGUGAUGCUUCAUUUACAUAUUUUUAAAAUUUGAUCAUAUAACAGGGAUAGAGUGUGUCCGAGUCAAUUUGAUGUUACAGACUUGCAGCUAACUGUUGUGCGUUAUAUAAUUGCAUAUUUCUUAGACACCAGAUAUGACCAAGUUCCAUCUACAAUGUUAACAGAAUCUUUGAUAGGUAAAGGAGGCAGACAAAAAAGCUAAACAUCUUUUUUCUUCCGUAUAGCUCCCAGGCAACUACACAAGGCAAUGCUUGAUAUAAGGGCUUUAGAUAUACAUUUGCAGGGUGUUUAUCGUAUGAGUAAGGAAAUCACUGUCUUCGCUCCCAGCAGACAGUGAUUGGAAGAUCCAUCCUCGCAUCACUUAGCACCUUCCAGCAGGCAAGCCUUUUUUUAAAAAAAUCUUCUCUUGCAUAUACUUUUGCAAUUUUAAACUUCAUUUUGAAUUGUGUUGUUGCUAACUUAAACAUGUUUGUGCUUAAUCAGAUGUGGAUUUUGAAGGGCUGUUGACACCCAAUUUUGACCCUCCCUGAUAAUAAUUAAUUUUCGAGCUUUUUAAAUUUCAAACAAUUUAAAAUAAUUAGCCUUGUAAAAUCCAAUUGGUUUCAAGAUUAUUUUAAGUAAUUUUCGUAGAUUUCUAUAGUAGUUUGAAUAAUAAAUAUAUUUUACAUAAUUAUUUAUGUAUUUAGUAUAUUUUAUAAAUGGUUGAAAUCCAUAUCAAAUGAUUUUUACAGUGUUAAAAUAAGUAGUUUAUUAAUUUGGUUUUAGUGUGAGUUAUAGUUUGAAUUUUGAACUAAUUAGUUUAUAUUUAAAUCAAUUACUUUGUAAUCAAGUUAGUUAUUUUAUUUUGUAUAGAUUAAGAAGCUCAUUAAUUAAUUUAUAUAAUUUCAUCUUGUCGAGCUUUUGGCCGAAUUCACAAAUCAAUUUCCAACCGGUUAAAUUUUCAACCUCAAUUGAUCAUAAUUUUAAUCGUAAUCCCUUUUUUUUUUAUUUCUAAGCUUGGUUCUUUUAUUUUUGCAAUCCAGCAGCCCAAACACUUAAAAAACAACCCAUCCCAAACACCAAUUUUCAGCUUCAAUUCCCAACCCAAUAAUUCCUGUGACCAAGCCCAAUUUCCCCUUUAACCCGGCCCACCCCAAUUCUAAAAGAAAUCAAUACAAUCCAAUGUUCCCUUUUUUUUCCUCUGUCAACGCAUCAAAUUCACGGCAACAACGACAAUCCCAAGCGGCGUGAGCAACAAUUCCUAAACGACACCAACAACAGCGUACAAACGACGCCCUAAAGUCCAUCAACUCACGGCGAUUCACGGAAAGCUCACGGCGCGAGAAAACGCGUGCCUAGUACAACAACAUACUGCUAUCCGUCGCCCUCUUCGCUGCAACAGUGCAGUUGCAGCAGCUGCUGUAACAGCGCAGGGUGUCCUUGAGGACGUAGGAUCGAGACACGUAGCAUCUCAAGGACAUCAAAUUGAUUGAAGUCGUCCAUCGCCCUUUCUCCUUCCGGAAUGAGACGAAUUUUCAAAGAAAAGGUGUCGUCCCAAAACGGGAAAAGAAUUUUUUGAAUUUGGAAUGGGCCUCGUUUCACCCGUUCUUUGCCCUAAUUUGAGGGAUAAAUAGUUCCGGAUCCUUCAGGUUUUAGGCAGGAUUUUCAGUUGCUGGAAAGGAAGAUAUAUAAACAUAAGAAUACAUAUAUAAAUGGAGAGCGAUAUUUAGGCAAAAGUCGACAAGAAAUUUGAUUCUUGUGUUCGCCUCUUGCAAGGCUCGUCGGAAUCUCGUUGUGGUAUUGGAGUUGCUGUUUCUCUGCUCGUGGUUCUCGGUUUCGCUGCACCCUUGAAGGUAACACUCAUCUCUCUUCAAGCAUAUCUUGCUCAUAAUGUGUCGUCGCUUGAUUCUUAAUGCGUGAGCCGUCUGCGUGAUAAUGUUUGGAGAAUACUUCGACUCAUUGCUUAUCAUAAAUCAGUAUGUAGCUGGUUUGUCUGCUUCUGGACACUGAUAAGAGUUGAGUUUUUCCGCCUCAUUUGUCUAUUGCUGCAUCUGUUGAUUUAUGUUGGUUAUAUUGUGACCUGGACUUUUGCAAAUGUAUUGGAAUAUUGGGUUUUUAUUGUUAUUACUCUUAUUGUCCUAGUUUUUCUAUAACACCUCUAUGAUCGGUUUCAAAAUUCCUAUUAAUCUUAUUCUGUGUCUAUUUGUUGUAAAUAUGCUUAUGGCUCAGGUUCUAGUGGCAAAUCGUAAUGUAUGCUUCAUGUUUAUUUGGAUUUGUUCACUUCGAUUUAAUAAUGAAACUUGUCAAAAAUCGGUGCUUACCUUAGCCCAUAGGUUGUUAUCUCCGAUAAUCUUAUGUUGCUAUUCAGGGGUCAAGCGUGUCGAAUUAUUAGCAGUCUAUCUAGCUAACGGUGUUCAUCAUAAGUAGCGGUUAUAUUCUUCUCAGAUAGUAGCUUAAGCUUUAACUGAUUUUUACUACUUUAGCAUGAUAUAACUCACCAAAUAUUUGAGGAAUCAGAUUAUUUCCCUUGGAUUUUCACUGAUGGUUGGCCCGUACUUGAGUUACUGUAAGUAGAACAUUUGGUCACGACUCGUUAGCUUAUCCACCAUAUAUUUAAUUCUUCCUGCAAAUAUUCAAAUGCUUGUCCUAUAUAAAAAAAUAAUAAUAUAUAUAUAUAUAUAUAUAUUAAUUUCUAUCCAUUAGUUUAUAGUGUUAUUUCCAGUGAAGUCCUUGAAUAUGCAUUUUAGUUGUUUGUGCUAGUAGCUGUUCAAUUAAAUAAUCUUUUUAUGUCUCAUAGUUUGAUGAAUCCAUGGCUGUUUACUGCUUCUUCGUUAGUAAAAUCGCUUAAUGAUGAUCAUGAAUUACUCAUGUUAAUUCUUUCCUUCCACUUUCCUUACAUGUGAUGCUUCGCCGAGUCUAUUUGGACUUUUCCCAUUGCCUCUUUGCAUUUUCGAGUAUCGAGUCAGCCCUCCGAUGUUCAAGAGUGAAAUGGAAUUGGCGUACAGGUGUUUGGAGCUGAUAUACGGGAUUGUAUACAUUAGUAUACACCUAGUGUAUACGAAAAAAUGAAAAAUGGGCAUAAAGUAGCCUUAAAUUUUCAGCUUUUGUAUUUUUGUAAUUAUUGGACUAAAAGCCCAUUUAUUUUGAUUAUUAUUGUGUUAGUUUAGGACAGGUACCAAGUGUUGGGCCAAAAGCCCCAAAAGCAGAAAUCAGGCCCAAGUAUUGGUCCAGGCGAACAAAAAAAAAAAAAAAAUCCAAACUUGGGCCCAACUCUCUUUCCCUCUUUACUUUAUUGUGUUCAUUUACUUACUAGUAUUUGUCGUUAGUCUUAAGGUCGAAAAAUUCAAAUCCCCGAAAAACGUCUAUUUUGAUUUAAUAAUUUAACUAAACCAGUCAUCUCUUAAACAAGACUUAAAGGAAUAAUUUUGCAGGAUAGCUCACUUAGACAAUAUUUAAAUAUUUCCUCUUUUCCCCCUUUAAAAAUAAGUUUUAACUAUAAAAUAGAUCAAUUUCGCAAGUCAAGCUAAGUUAAAAUUAUUUUAGUCAAGUAGUUAAUCGUCGGAUAACCACAUUAGUGGAUAUUUUAGGUGUCUUUAAAACCAUCCUAGAAUAUUAAUAAGAACCUCGAACCCCCCUUUUAAAAUUUUCAUUAGAUUCCAUGUUUUAAUCUUUUGAAAAAAUAGUUUUCUUGAUUUUUCUUAAAAAUUAAGUGGCGACUCUAAACCAGUCCAAAAUAAUAUUUUCUUAAAUAAAACAAGGGCGAGUACGACAAAUCUGGUCCAUCCAUUGUCCACAAGAAGUGCUUCUAAGGUGUUGCUGCUAUUUUUACAUUUGUUCGCGAGUUCUUUUUUAUUUUUUUUGUUCUUUCUGCUAAAGCUAUUAUGUCAUCCACAGUGAACUCAGGUCUGCUGUUAUAGGCAAGUCAUCGAGAUGGGGCUAUCAAAGAAGGGUGAUUAAAAACAUUGUACCGCUGAUACUAUUUCAUGUUUCCAGUGCAAGCCUCUUUUGUAAGUUGACAAACUCGAUUUGUAAAUAUGUUUGGGACUCAACUAGUGGUUAGAGUAUUGAUUUUGUAAGAUUUUUGUCCAGAAAAUCAAAUUAGAAAGAUUACUCGCGAUGAUUGAAUAAGCUCGAAGAAGUGGAUUUGAAUUUCAAUUCGUGUCUUUUUUUUAUGUGUGUGUGUG
RNAcentral lists this long non-coding RNA (57426 nucleotides) under Solanum tuberosum (potato). RNAcentral describes it as "long non-coding RNA (STUB_LNC011005)". Lineage: Eukaryota; Viridiplantae; Streptophyta; Magnoliopsida; Solanales; Solanaceae. The record is from RNAcentral.